RNAcentral lists this long non-coding RNA (49169 nucleotides) under Populus tremula. RNAcentral describes it as "long non-coding RNA (PTRE_LNC000456)". The record is from RNAcentral. Lineage: Eukaryota; Viridiplantae; Streptophyta; Magnoliopsida; Malpighiales; Salicaceae.
GCUGCUAGGCGCGUGAACAGUGCUGGACAGCGGCGGCGCGUGGACUCACGCGCCGCCGCGAGAACGCCGAAAAAAAAAGGUUGGCCGGAUUCUGCUUCUUCUUCCUUUUCCCUCCCCACAGACGGUAAGAAACCACAUCAUCUACAACAAAAACAAACGCACAAACAGUCGAUUUUAAGCUUUUAUUUCUUUGUUUUCGGAUCUGAUUUUUGUUCUUUCUUCUCCGAUCUGCUGCUUCCUCUUCUUCUUCAGAUCGUCUUCCCUGUACUGGCGACGACUGCUGGAGGCCGGAGCAGCGGGUGGCGCCGCUGGGGAAAGGAGUUGCUGCGGUUGGCUUCGGUGGGCGCUGGGUUUCGUCUUCUUCUCCUCUGCUUCGAGUGGCAGAUCGGUGGAGAGGCGGCCGGUGAGAAAGGAUAGUGAAGUUGUUGCUGGAGGCCGAUCUGUUACUAGGGGUUCGGAUCCGGUCUCGACGGGCUGGCCAGUUGCCGUGGUCGGGUCCGUUCGUUGACCCAGAGAGGGAGGCCGAUGGGUCGGCUGAGGGAGGAGGAUAUGGCCGGAUUCGUGGGGAUGAGGGAGGGAGAUCAACGAUGGCCGGUUCUCUGGUUAGGAAAGGAGCGACCGGGAGAGAAGAAGAGGGGUUGUCCUGGCGGCCGGUUGGAGAAGAAAAAUCAGAAGGUGGGGGGGUGUUUGGCCGGUUCUUUGUGAGGAAAAAAAUGACGGCGAGGGAGGAUGGAGAGGCUACAGGAGAAGAUGAGGUCGGCUGAGAAGGUCUGUGUGGGGGAGAAAAAAAAUCAAUGUGGGGGCCGACGGCUGGUUUUCAGAGAAGAACACUAGGGAAAAAAUUUUAAAACCAGGAGGGAGGCGCCGCCAACCCCUUUUUUUUUUUUUAGUGGCUAGAAAAAGUUGGGUUUUAGGGUUUUUGUAUUUUUUCUGAAUGUGUCAAAAUUGACCUCCCCCCCUUUGUGUGAGUUAAAGACCAGUAUUUAUAGGCAAAAAGGUUGCCAAGUUUUUCAACUUGGUCCCUCAACUUCUUUCUUUUUGUAAACUUUGAUUUUUCUUAUUUUUUGUAUUUUUUGAAAACGAGCAAUAUCAACGUCGAUUCAACGAGGAAAAUCAAUGUUUUUUUUUAAAAAUGACGCGUGAAAAGUCGAACGCGUUUGAAAAUCUUUUAACAAUUUAAAUUCUUUUUUUUAGACGGCGUUGAAAAUUCUAAAAUGACGAAAAUAUAUUAAAAAAACAUAUUUUUUGGAUUUUCUUUGUUUUUUUUAAUUUUUUUGGAUUUUUUUGAAAAUAUAUCAAAACAUGGGUCAAAAAUUAGGUAGCAACAGAUGCCCCCUCUUUACAAUGCUUACGAAGCAAAACUCCUCAAAAUUUUGCAUAGUAAGCUUUGUAAAGAAAACAAAAGGAAAAUUAUUUCAUUAUCUUGGGCGACCUGCCCACACACUCACACUGGUCUAUUUUCACGGUCGACCUGCCCACACAUACUCACUUUGGUCUAUUUUCACGGGCGACCGGCCCACACUCUCACACUGGUCUAUUUUCACGGGCAACCUGCCUUUUUAAUUGGGUUUACCUGAGAUCCCAUCUGGCGACCUCCUUCAACUGGAACGAAAAUAUUGUGUAACUCGGUUAACUUGAAAUCCCAUCUGGCAAUUCCCUUUACCAAAGCUACAUGAGAUCCCAUCUGGCGACCUCAUUCAAUUGGAACGAAAUAUGCGUAACUCGGUUAACCUGAAAUCCCAUCUGGCGAUUCCCUUUAACCAAAGCUACCCGAGAUCCCAUCUGGCGACCUCAUUUAACCAAAACAAAAGAAUGUGUGAAAAAUGGUCUCAUUGUAUGGGUGACGAACCCAAGAAAAAAAAGAUGGUCUCAUUGUAUGGGUGACCGACCCAAGAAAAAAUGAUGGUCUCAUUGUAUGGGUGACGAACCCAAGAAAAAAAAUGAUGGUCUCAUUGUAUGGGUGACCGACCCAAGAAAAAAUGAUGGUAUCAUUGUAUGGGUGACGAACCCAGAAAAAUGAUGGUCUCAUUGUAUGGGUGACGAACCCCAGAAAAAUGAUGGUCUCAUUGCAUGGGUAACGAACCCAAAAAAAUGAUGGUCUCAUUGUAUGGGUGACGAACCCAGAAAAAUGAUGGUCUCAUUGUAUGGGUGACGAACCCAAAGAAAAUGAUGGUCUCAUUGUAUAGGUGACGAACCCAAAAAUGAUGGUCUCAUUGUAUGGGUGACGAACCCCAGAAAAAUGAUGGUCUCAUUGUAUGGGUGACGAACCCAAAGAAAAUGAUGGUCUCAUUGUAUGGGUGACGAACCCCAGAAAAAUGAUGGUCUCAUUGUAUGGGUGACGAACCCAAGAAAAUGAUGGUCUCAUUGUAUGGGUGACGAACCCUAGAAAAAUGAUGGUCUCAUUGUAUGGGUGACGAACCCAAGAAAAAUGAUGGUCUCAUUGUAUGGGUGACGAACCCCAGAAAAAUGAUGGUCUCAUUGUAUGGGUGACCUACCCAAGAAUGGAAAAAAUAUGAAGUGGGGUCUCAUUGUAAUGGGUGACCUAUCCAGAUGGAAAAAAUAUGAUGAAGUGCGGUCUCAUUGUCAUGAGUGACCUACCCGGAUGGAAAAAAAAUGUGAUAUGACAAGCGUGAAGAAAAAAAAAAUAGGACUUACUUGGCGAAGUCUGAGGGGAUGAUAGAAGAAGGGCUGGAAAACUUGGUGCUUCCUGAUAAUUCCCGAUCAUAAGGUUUGAAAACUCGGUGUUUCCUGACUGCAAGGGUUGAAAACUCGAGGCUUCCCGGUUGCAAGGUUGAUCUAUUCAUUUCUUUGGGAUUUUCCUAAUGGUAGGGUUCAUCCCAUCGUCCUUUUAUUUCAUGAUCAAAACCGAUUCUUUAUUUAUCAUCACCACAAUGCUUCUUUCUCUUUCCACCAUCUUGCUGGACCUCAUUACAUAUUUUCCUGUAACAAUUCAAAAAUAUGUGCAAAUGUUUUUUUUUUUUUUUGAGGUUAGAUGACAUGCAUGCGUCCUUACCUGAUUUGAAAUAUAGGUCCCCUCCUCUUUGAUGCUCCAUCGCCAUAGGGUGCCCUUGUUUGUAUCCCAAAGCUUUCUUUGUUCUUCCAAUGCAUUGACUCAUUCAUGUACUAGCCAUCCACUCAGCUGUAAAUGCAGUGCCCAUCCCGGGCUGUCUUCGACAAUUACUGCUUGCAUCGUUCAUCAAACUUGACCUUGCCCCCAAGUGUGGUAAUGCGUGAAGGAUUUUCUCUCAUGGUUUCUUCUAAGAAUUAUCCUCUAAUUGAUUGUGUGCAUCAUGUCAAUACCCAUCAAGAUUGUUAAUCAGUCAUGAACUUGACUCUAGUUGAAACAGUACUCUUCAAGUACAUGUUGUCAUCAGCCUUCUUGGAACUCAUCCAGUCAUCCAGACAUGCAUCUCAUAGCUUGCAGUAUAAAGGCUCAUGGUUGUAUGCUCAGUGCUCUUCUCAUAGAUUCCUUUCAACUCUUCUAAUCAGAUUGUGAAAAGAAAGGUCUCAGCCCCAUCAAUGAUGCUGCUUUUUAUCACCCAUACUCAUGCAGUGAAGCGCUCAUCUGGCUUCAGAACAAGUUGUCUCAUAAUCAGUCUUCGAGGUGGGUGCCUUUCCGACAUUCAUUUAGUGUAGUUGUGUGAACACGUCAGUCGAUAACCAUGUUUAAAAGGAUGACAAUAUGAGAUUGUCCUUCAAGUGCAGCAUUGUUCCACAGUCACUCUUGGUGGUAUGCAUCUUUUUGCCAUUUAAUUACAUUCAUCUGUGUAUCUUCAUCGAUUGCUAGCCCUGUUUCAAAAGAUGAUGAUAUGAAAGUGUCCUUCAAGUACAUCCUUGUUUCUCCAUUGCCGACAGGGUUCACUGGAGCAUGGGCCAUUUUGGAAUGACAUUGCCCCCAGGUGGUCAACGUUUCAAGGAGUGUCGAGAAAUGUUGAUGUCAUUUUUGUCAAGAAUUUUGCAAGCUCAAUUGAUGUUCUUGUUUGAAAAUCUUUCUUGUUCUGAAAUCAAAUCUCAUAUUUCAAAGAUCAUGUUUAUUCAAAGUCUAGUUGUUGAGAUGAAAUCAGAGAGAUAUCAGUUUUUGAAAAGUUAUUUUUGAAAUUCGAGCUCCUUUGGUCAAAGACCCAACACACUAUUCAAUGCAGUCCUUUGAUUGUCUUGUAUUUUGAAAACAGAAAUGACCCGUUGUAAGAUUUAAAAUGACUUUUUCAUGGUUCUUUGUGUCCACUUUAAACUCUGAUUUUGGGUAUAUCCUUUGAUGGUCUGUGAUGAGGUGAUAUUUUUGUGAACUUCAAAUGACUAGGUGCUCAGGCUUGAUAAAAAAAGGUUGUUUCUUUUAUCAGUAUUUAUUUUAUCAGCAUGCAUAAUAACCAGUAGCCUAAUUCAUGAAGCCACGACCCUUACGGAAAAAACUCUUCAAGUUUUGAGAUCGCCAUUUAUUGGUUCAGAUUGCUUGCUUGAUUAAAAAGGGCUUUUAAAAGCACGUAAUGCAGGCUAUGGUUCAUGGCUAUGAAAGAAAGGAAUUCCAUAGGCUCAAAAGGUGUUUGAGGGUUUCAACGACCUAGGAGCAACAUUAACUAUUCAUUGAUUCUCUUUCUCUUGUUGUCAUUAUAAAUAGUGACAUAUAACCUUGUUAAUCUUCAAAUAUCAGAAUUCUCUUAACAUAGGUCAUAAUGCAAAUCCAACUUUUUCUUUGAUGAAUAAACUAAUCUAAUUAUUUUUGAAGACAUUAGAGGCUCUAUCCAAGACACACCAAAAGAUACGCAGCAUCGAUUUUUCUAGUGUUGACUUUUGGCAUUUUGUCCUUUCUCAAUUAAAAACUGUCUUGCCUCUCUUAGGAUUGAUAGGCAUUUUCUUUCCUUUCCAUUUUCUCAACUUUUCUUCUUUUUUUUUUCUUUUUUUUUGCAUAGCCUUCCUCAAAGUUUUUCUUGGAUGACCCUCAAUCUAUGGAUUUUCUUCUUCUAGCCCUUUCUCAAACAUUGGACUUUUGUUCUAAGCUUUUCUUUGAUCCAUUGGUUUUAUCAGUGUCUCCAAAAUAUUUCUCAUUUGCCCCCAGGGUGGGGUGUGAUCCUAGUCAGGGUUUCCUUUUGAAAGAAAAUAUCUCACCAAGCUCAAAAUGGGACUACAAGGGAUAUAAUUUUUAGAAAGUGAAGGGAUAUCAAAGAUGGCCUUUUCUCAUUUCAAGCAAGGUCGGUUAGAACCGAUAAAUUUUGACCUCAUCCCGUGUAAUGAUUUGGACUUGUAAGAGUCAAUGAUUCACGAGUCCAUAACUACCAAAUCCACUACAUGUCAUUAUGCAUACUGCUAAAACUUAGCUAUAUGAUGUGUGGUUCAGUUUCAAAAGGUAUGAGUUCAAAAUUAUUUGGUCACCUCAUGUCAUUUUCAAGCAUAGAAUCAUUUCUGUAAUCAAAACACUUUUAAUCUUCCGGAUUGAUUAACCUUUAUCGCAUGUUGGAGUUUGAUCAAAAUAUUUUGUCAGAAUAAAAUGCUAAAUAUCUGUUGAUUUCAAAACAACAAAGAGACAAAAGCAAGGCAUGUUUCGUUGAAGGAUGAGAUGUGAUCCCAAAACAAAAUGCAGAAUUCCAUAACAAUAUGAUUGACUGUUCAUCACCAUUCUCGAAUCAGCUUUUCUGGCAAUAUCUGUGUUUUGCCAAGCAUUUUCGAUCACAUGUCAUUCUGAAGAUGUUCGGGGAACAAUAUAGCCAAUGACACCCUCCUUCAACGACUCCACUUGUCUCUUGCUCACCAACUUUCAGACUCGCUUCUUGAAAUUCUUGCAAUUGCUCAAUUGAGGACCCCAUCAUGGCAUCACAUCUCUUGUCUGGAUUAAACCACCAAAAAAAUAAUGGUUGCAUGGGAUUUGUCGGAGUCAGGUAAAAGUUUGGAAUCUAGCAGAUGCUGGCAAGUAAACUCACAUGACAACUAUUCACUUGAAAUUCUUGCAAUUAUUCCAUUGAAAUGGCCGAGAACCCCAUCAUGACAUCACAUCUCUUGUCUAGAUUGAACCACUUGGAAAAUAGUGGUUACAUAGGAUUUGUCGGAGUCAAGCAAAAUUCUAGAAUCUGGCAGAUGCUGGCCGACAAACUUAAGUGGCAGAGGAAUGUCCCAUCUUGGCAAAGAUAUUUGAGCAAUUGAUGCUACCGUGAGACCUGGCUAUACCACAUAAUUAAGGGCUCACACCGUCAAAGGCAUCUUCUGAUUCACCUCUCAUCAUUGUUCUAGAAUCCAUGGCAGAUCCUUCAAUCUUUCUUCUCUUCAUAGCUUGUUCAAUUCUUCGGAAAAUCCUCACAACAUUAUUUCAAUCUUCCAAUGUUGCUAUGGUUGGUUGAGGAUUGUUAGAAAACUUUCUAACAGCUUGGUAAUCUUGGCAGCGCCCAAAAACUUAUAGUAUCGCCACUACCAACACGUGGAAUCAUGCCUUAUCUCUUCUAUUGGAGAAAACGAUGAACAUGAAUCUCCUCUAUUUCUUCUUCGAUUCCUCUCGAACGAUGCAGCAAACAAGCACCAAUAAGGGAGUUCUGCUCUAUUGAAGUUUCAGUCUUCUUCAUGUUUCUCAGUCUAGGCAUGUAUCUUCUCUCUACUUUUGCAUUUUAAUACUGACACUGUUGAAGGAAAAUCAUAGAUGAUCUGAAACUACUAUAUUCCUUCUUGGAUUUCCCACUUGCGGAUCCACAAAUAGAUUCCUGCCGAGAGAGCUCUGCUUCGUUGAAGUUUGAUGUCUGCUCGUAUUUUCAGACCAGGUCUGGCUCUUCAACCUACUAAGAGGUCUUCGUGCUGAAACUGAUGAGAGAAAUAUUUGUAGCAUAUGCAACUUAUAAAUCCCCUCUUGCCUUCCCAAUUUGCAGAGCCAUAAAUUGAUUUUUGUAGAGAGAGCUCUGCCACAUUGAAGUUCAGUGUUCAAUCAUGGUUUUUUCAGACCAUCUUGUGCUGCUGAACUGGAAUUGAGCUCGUAAUCGGGGUAACUUCAAAGCAGAUUAAUGCACCAUGUACAGGAGACCGGUAGUUGUUUGGUUCCAUUAGAUGAUGUGGAGGCGAUGAACAUUUAAAAUGCAACUGGAUAAGAACCAGAGUUGUCAUUAGUUGAUGACUGAAGGCGUUGUUGCUUUUGUUCAUGACGAAAAAGGAGAGAUACACUUCAAUUAGAUGUGAACAAGCAAUGUUCCCACAGAAGACUGUGCAGAUAUUCUCUUUCCAUUUGAUGCUAACACUUGUUCGAGCAGAUCUGAGUCUAGCUACUUCACAUUUAAUGCUCUCAACCUUAAUCUGAUAAUGAGCCUCUAUCUGACACCUUUCUUCACCUCCAUCAUUUUUCUCCAAUCACGUGCAGCACAACUUGUGUGGGGGACCUACCUUUCAACCCGGUACAUGUAUGAUAAAUGUAUGAACAUGUAAUCUAUAUGAUGAACUCACCCUUCGAGAGGUGACAAUAUGGUCGUAACUCUUGUAUGAUGGACAAGAAUCGUGAUUUUUGCCCAAACUCUACAAUGAAAAUUUUCGGAGCAACGACCAAUGUGUCACCCACAAGUCUUGAGUUCAAGAUGCUUCAAGAAGGGUUUGCCCUUAUGCAAAAAACGAUAGCACAUACAACCUAAGGACAGUUCUAUUCAUUAUGUGAACAUGGGUAGGUUUUCUAUCUGGUCUCAAAAGGGUCUCAUAUCUGCCCAGUGACGUUCUUCGUAAAGACAGUAUGGGGGCGUUGCAAAGAAUGGUUAAGGCACGUAUACCCACCAUUACCAAGCAGGCACUCAGAUAUGAGUUGGGUGUUUCACGCAUCUGAACCCUGACCAAUAGUCUUAGGGCAGAUCGCUAGUUCCCCACCUAACCUAGAAGCUUGUGUGUGCUUUUAAAAAUAAAUACAGGUGAUGCAUGAGACAAUUCUAUAAAAUGCAUGGAAAUAAAUAUUAACAAAAAGAUAAAAAUGCAAAAACUUAAACACAUCAAAUACACAAAGCUUAGUCCAAUAAUAUCAAAAACAGUACCGUCCCCAGUGGAGUCGCCAUUCUGUCGCACCCCAAAAAAAAUCAGCGCGCGGCAUCGGCUGUCGAUUUUUCGUCUCGUUGUUGUUUGCUUGAAUUUGGUUCGUUGGAGUCGCCACCCAGUAAUUUAUUUCGGGCUACUAGGAAACCGGAUGUACUGGUCUUGUUAGAGAUUCGCGGGUAAGGGACUGGUUGUGGUUAGGGAAGGUAUUUGCACUCCUAACGCACCCUACCUGAGGUAAGCUGCUUCGUGGCUUUGACGUGUUAAAGAAGUUUUAAUAAUUGUCUUUUCAUCGGAAAUUAGAAAUAUCACUUACGUAUAAGUUAAUAAUUCUUAACCGUGAUCCGAUCAAAAUAUUAAAUUCUUCUUUAAUAUAUUUGCAAUUUUAUCAUAAAAAAUAUAUACAAAUAAAUAAAACAAAAUACAAGCACACACAUACACUUUCACUAUUUUAUUUUUGUUUCUUUUCUUUUCUUUUCUUUUACAUCCAUAUUUACAUAAAUAUAAAUUACAAAAAAAAUCAAAACUAAACAAAUUACAUUAAACAAUUCUAAAACUACAAAACAGUCCCUAAAUAGUCCAAGAAGUGCAGGGAAGUCCAUUUAGAACCGCAGGAACAGUGCUCGGGAAGGCUGCUAGGCGCGUGAACAGUGCUGGACAGCGGUGGCGUGUGGAUUCACGCGCCGCCGCGAGAACGCCGAAAAAAAAAGGUUGGCCGGAUUCUGCUUCUUCUUCCUUUUCCCUCCCCGCAGACGAUAAGAAACCACAUCAUCUACAACAAAAACAAACGCACAAACAGUCGAGUUUAAGCUUUUAUUUCUUUGUUUUCGAAUCUGAUUUUUGUUCUUUCUUCUCCGAUCUGCUGCUUCCUCUUCUUCUUCAGAUCGUCUUCCCUGUACUGGCGACGACUGCUGGAGGCCGGAGCAGCGGGUGGCGCCGCUGGGGAAAGGAGCUGCUGCGGUUGGCUUCGGUGGACGCUGGGUUUCGUCUUCUUCUCCUCUGCUUCGGGUGGCAGAUCGGUGGCUUGGUGGAGAGGCGGUCGGUGAUAAAGGACAGUGAAGUUGUUGCUGGAGGCCGAUCUGUUACUAGGGGUUCGGAUCCGGUCUCGACGGGCUGGCCAGUUGCCGUGGUCGGGUCCGUUCGUUGACCCGGAGAGGGAGGCCGAUGGGUCGGCUGAGGGAGGAGGAUAUGGUCGGAUUCGUGGGGAUGAGGGAGGGAGAUCAACGGUGGCCGGUUCUCUGGUUAGGAAAGGAGCGACCGGGAGAGAAGAAGAGGGGUUAUCCUGGCGGCCGGUUGGAGAAGAAAAAUCAGAAGGUGGGGGGGUGUUUGGCCGGUUCUUUGUGAGGAAAAAAAUGAUGGCCGGGGGAGGAUGGAGAGGCUACAAGAGAAGAUGAGGUCGGCUGAGAAGGUCUGUGUGGGGGAGAAAAAAAAUCAAUGUGAGGGUCGGCGGCUGGUUUUCAGAGAAGAACACUAGGGAAAAAAUUUUAAAACCAGGAGGGAGGCGCCGCCGGCCCCUUUUCUUUUUUUUUAGUGGCUAGAAAAAGUUGGGUUUUAGGGUUUUUGUAUUUUUUCUGAAUGUGUCAAAAUUGACCUCCCCCCCUUUGUGUGAGUUAAAGACUAGUAUUUAUAGGCAAAAAGGUUGCCAAGUUUUUCAACUUGGUCCCUCAACUUCUUUCUUUUUGUAAACUUUGAUUUUUCUUAUUUUUUUGUAUUUUUUGAAAACUAGCAAUAUCAACGUCGACUCAACGAGGAAAAUCAAUGUUUUUUUUUAAAAAUGACGCGUGAAAAGUCGAACGCGUUUGAAAAUCUUUUAACAAUUUAAAUUCUUUUUUUUAGACGGCGUUGAAAAUGCUAAAAUGACGAAAAUAUAUUAAAAAAACAUAUUUUUUGGAUUUUCUUUGUUUUUCUCAAUUUUUUGGAUUUUUUUUGAAAAUAUAUCAAAACAUGGGUCAAAAAUUGGGUAGCAACAUAUAAUAUAAUUAUGAUGUUAUUAAUUAUAUAAUUAAUAUUAGUAAUUUAUAAAAAUAAUAUAAAAUUUAAUAAAAUAAUAUGAAAGUUAAAAGAUAUAAUUUAAAAUUAAACUUAAAAUUUAUUUAUAUGAAUAUUUUUAAUUUUCAGUUUUAUAUAUUACUGUUAAAAAUUUAAUUUUUUAAAAGUAAAUUCAAAUUCAUGCCUUGAAAAAAUAACCGCCACCAUUUAAUUUUUAAAUUUGAGAGAAGGGUGAGGCACAAUACAAAAAUUUAAAACUACAAGUUUUUUCUUCAUGUAUUUAUAGAAAACAUUUUCUAUAUUUAAAAAAAAAAAAAAAACAGAGCUGCUGGCCAUCGGCUAUAAAAAUUGCCGUUGGUCAUUUUGGCCAUUUCUAUAGUUAUAUAUAGAAAUGACUAUUGAGAGCAUAAAUAACCAUUUUGACUUUUCAUUUAGCAUACCGGUUGGAAUACAAAUAGCGAAGAAGGUUUAGCUUUUCAUUUGCCUGCUCCGUUGGAGCUACCCUACAUCCACUUCCGGUCGUAAAUUUGAUUAUCUUAGUUAAAUAUUAGAGGGGCCCGGGGCAUCCAUCGGUUUUAGCCCAAAAAAAAAAACAUUUAAUCCAGACCUUGCAAGCCAAGUAUUUUUUUUAUUUAUAAAUAUAUUAAAAUAAUAUAUUUUUUAUUUUUAAAAUUUUAUUUUUGAUGUUAAUAUAUUAAAAUAAUUUAAAAUUAAAAAAAAACUAUUUUUUUUCUUAAAAAUAAAACACUACUGUCAAGACCAACAGCACAGACAUGAUGUUAAUUACAUGCGUGGAUUCUGUCUGAAUUUUAAUUAGUAUACCAAGACAUUGUCCAAAAAAUUAUUUUAGAGAUUAUUAUCAUUUCAACUGGGGCAGUUCAUAUUUUAAGUCAUCGGUUGAAAUAAAAAAUUAAAAUUAAAAUGGACAUAUUUUUUUUUAAAAAAAUAAUAAACCAGCCUCUCUAGUCCGAGAGAUUGUUCUGAUUUAUCUUAAAUUUUAUCCUUUUAUAUUUUAUAUAUACAAGUUGCUUUUGAAUGAUACUGUAGGGAGAAAAAUCAUUUAUUUUUUGCAAUCAAAAUUAAAUUUUCAAAUAAAAUAAAUAAAAAUGUAUAAAAUAAAAAUGAAAACCAAAAUAAAAUAUUGCAUACACUUUCAUCUUUUGUACUUACUUCAAAUAUCAGCUUUUGUUUUAGUAUUUGAUUAGUGUUAAUAAUUUUUAUUUAUUUAUCGGUAUAUAUAUUAUUUAGUUUGUUUUAUCAAGUAUAAAUACCAUCUUUAUCUUUCUUAAUAAAAAAACUAUGAUAUAAAAAAUAAAAUUGAUGUAUUUUUUUCCUACAUUAAGAAUUAACCAAAAAUAAUAUGCAUUAUAUUGUGCAAGUCAUGCCUGCGUGUUAAGACUACUACAUGUAAUUUUAUGGUGUUUCAUUAGACAUAUUUGAAAUAAUAGCAACCCAAGCCUGCGUGUUAAGACUACUACUACUUAUAUUAUAUUAUAUGUGUAUUUCUUGAAUAUCUGUAUCGUGAAAUUAUUUUAUAUAAUUUAAGUAUGAUAAGUUAUGUAAAUUUUAUUUUAAGUAUUAUUUUAAAAAAGUUUUUAAAAUCAAUUUUAAUACAAAUUGAUUAAUAUAUAAUAUAUCUAAUUAGCAAAAUUGGGAGUUAAGAUUUUUUGAUAACUUAAUAUUUUAAUAUCUCUAAAGAGUUUUAUAUGAGUUAGAUAUCAUUAAUUAUGUAUGUGUUAUUUUAAAAUGCAAGAUUUUAUAAUAUAAACAUAUUUGAAUUUAUUAAAAAUAUAUAUUAAAAAACACAACAGCAUAAUCAGUAAAUUUCAGCUUGUUUGGAAGUGUGGUUGCAGUUGCUUUUCAAAGUGUUUUUCGUGUCGAAAUGCAUCAAAAUAAUAUUUUUUUUAUUUUUUAAAAAUUAUUUUUUAGAUUAACGCUUCAAAACAAUUCAAAAUAUAAAAAAUUAUUUUUUUAUAAAAUAAAUAAAUAUUUAAAGAACACAACCGCUUUUUCCAAACAAUGCUGUAGCAUUUUGCGACGUGAAAUAAUUCCAAGCUUGUAAACUAGUGAUUGCCUAAAUUGAAAUGUCUUGUCUUUGAAAAAAAAAUUAAGUUAUCAACUAUACAGUGCUAUAUUGAUCUUUAUAGGAUGAACACAUAAUUUAUGAAAAUCAAAUAUUUCUCUAAUUAUACAUGUCCAGCAAUGCAUAUGACAUUUUUGGCGAGGACUUGACAAUUUGUGGUCACUUAUACGUUAAAUUCACUAUCCAAACUAUUUAUUCAUUCUUUUAAUAUUCAAAUGAGUAAAAAAUAUUGUGCAAAUUUGAUUUUAAAUUAUAAACUUGAAAGUAUAUAUUAUUAAUCAUUAAAUCUUAAUAUUUAUUAUUAAAAAAAUUCAUAAUUCUGAUAUUUUCAAUGGAAUGUGAAUGUUCUAUUUUAUUAAAACCAGUUAACGAUGCAAUGUAAGAUUGGAGAAACUCAUGUGCAAGAUAGAAGAUAUAUAACAAAAUAAAACUUUAAUAACGAUUAGAGAACCAUAGUUAAACUCCAGCUUUUUGGUCAAUGAAAUAAGAGAGUUCAAAAAAAUCAACUUUUUUUAAGCAACAAAUUAAGAAUUCCGAACAAUCUCAAGAUUCAACUAGUGUUUGAAACGAUUUACUAAGAAAAUCAACCAGUCAGUUGUGGGUCGCUGGCCUAAAACUGAAUAAAAUAAAAUAAUAAUCACUAACAUUAAAAAAAGAAAAGAAAAGAAAAAUAAGAUAAUACUCUCCUCAUAGUGAGAAUACUAUUAAGCGUUUUUUUUCUUUCAAACCAUGUUUUUUUUUUUAAAUUUCAAUUUAUUAGAGAUUAGCCUUUAUAAUUUUUCUUUGAUUUAUUUUUUAUGAGAUUAUCAUAAUUUCAUGAUCCAUAUUAUAUGUUUGACAGGUUAAUUCAGUUGAUUAAAAUUUUUUAAUUUUUUUUUUAAUUUCAUAUUUCAAUAUUGAAUUGGUUGAGAUUUAAACUUCGUAAUUUAUUUCAAUUCACUUUCUACAAGGCUAUCCUCAUCUCAUGAUCUAAGUAAUGAGUUUGAUAGGCUAAUCCAGGUUAACUCGACUUAUGUUUUUUUUUUUUGUCUAUUUUUAAUUUAUUUUUCAAUUUCAGUUAUAUUCUUUAAUAUUAGGUUUAUUGGGGAUUUUAUUUUAUAAUUUUUUAAAUUUUUUACUGGGUUAUCCCGGUCUCAUGAUUUAGAUCACAUGUUCGAUGUAUUAACUCGAGUUGACCUGAAUGAUUCUUUUUAUUUUUUUAUUUUAUCAUUCAAUAUUAUAUUUAUUGAAAAUUAAACGAUAUAAUUUGUUUUGAUUUAUUUUAUAUAUAUUUAUUAUAAUCAAAUGAUCCGACAUGUUGAUUGACAUGUUAACCAAAAUCAAUUUAAUAUAUUUUAAUUUUAAUUUUUAUAAAAAUAUUUAUUUUAAAUUAUAUUAUAUUUUUACUAAUAAUUUAAAUUAUUUUUGAAUUAUUCAAAUAAAAAAAAUAUAAUUUCAUUCACCUCAAGAAUUAAAGUUUUUUUCAAUUCAACAGCAGAAUGGUGGAUGUCAACAGGCUCCUAGGUCCCAAAUUCCACGUCAGUCAGUCAAUGAUUCUCCAAUUCCAACGGCUAUUACAUUAACAAUCAAAUAAAGCAUUACUAAUUGAAUAAACAUUAAAAUAAAAUAUAAAAAUAAUUGAAUAAACAUUAAAAUAAAAUUUAGUAACUAAUUUCAAACCUAAUUGAAUAAACAUUAAAAUAAAAUUUAGUAAAAAAUAAAGCAAUAUCACUUUAAUAAAAAUAAUUAACCAUUACUCAAUAAUUCAGAAAAUUGUUAUGGCAACUUUCGGCAGUGCCGCAGUGACAUGCCAGCUACUUAAUAAUAUCAUGUCCAAAUUUUGUUAAGAAAAGAAAAGAAAAAAAGGGUACCUUUGGCCUCUUUCUAAAUAAAGAAAAACAAAGGGCAUGCCAGGAACACUAUAGAUCAUCCAGUAACUCAAGUGUCGGUGGAGACUUCUGUCACCGAAUGUUGGAAAAUGGCAACCUCAGUUUCUUCAUCGCUAGUCCCACUUCUCUUCUUUGCAAGAAUCUCGGGUCUUUUAGCUGCAGCUUUAGUCAUUUAUUGGGCUCUUGUUUUCAAGUCUAGCUUUCUACCUCAAUCUACCUCUCAAGAAGACCUCGUUUAUGCAGUAUGCACUUUCCUCCCUUCAUCAUGUCUCACAUUUCUUAACCACAGAGAAAAAGCAUUUCUUGAACUUCUAUUUUAUUGAUGGAUUUCUUUCUUUUCUUAUGUUCUUUUCACAGGUUCUCCAUCCUUUGCUAAUGGUGAUUGGUUUCAUUCUCGUCAGUGGAGAAGGUAAUUUUGGCAUUAAUUUACCCAUGAUUUGUACUAAUUGAUGGAUAGAAGCUUAAUUAGCUUGACUUAUUAUAAUGUGGAAGUGGUCUCCAAAAUGGAGGUUGAUUCUUGCUUUUGUUGCUCCUUCCUCUUCCUCUUCUUUUUUGGUACUUUCAGCAAUCUUGGUACAUAGAUGGUUGCCUGGUUCAAGGGGUUUCAAGAAAUCAGUGCAUUUGUGUCUUCAAGGACUGGCUUUGGCUUGUGGGAUUUUUGGGAUAUGGACAAAGUUUCAUGGCAACGAUGGGAUUGUGGCAAAUUUCUUUAGUUUGCAUUCCUGGAUGGGUUUAAUCUGCAUAUCCUUGUUCGGAGCUCAGGUUUGUUCUUCACUCCUGAUUUUUUUACUCUUUUUUUUUUUAUUUCCUUUUCUUGCUCAUUUGGAAAUUGAAUUAUUAGUGAUGUUGUUGUGGUGAGGGUCGUCAUUUCCUGUAAUCAUCACUAGAUAAGGCCAUUGUCGCCGUGGACCCUCACGUGUACAUCCCCUUAAUUCAAAUUGGAAAAGCAACACAGCUACAUUAUUAUUGAUGAUUCAGUUAUUUACUAGUAUAAGCAAUAUUAUUAUCUUUUACUGACUAAUGACAAAGCAUUUUGUAAUUCAAUAACGUUACCCUUUCGGAAAUGGAUGCUUUUGAGGGAGAAGCAUGCGGUGGAAUCAUUGUCUUUUUAUGCUUUUGGGCUACGAGAAGCUCAGUGAUUUUGGACCAGAAGGAAAGCCCAAUAACUGUCCCUCCAUGACAGCAAAACGAAGAAUCUAUGUUUAUUUUCUUCUUGAAGAACGUCAGUCUUCUCCUAAUACUGCUUUUGACCGCCUUUGACUGGACAAAAGAGGCGUCCGAAGUCUGAUCUGAGAACACUCUUGAUCAUAAAAUUAAAAAAGAAGAGAGAAAUCCCAGUUAAAAUCCAUAGACUUUAAGUGGAUUGAAGUUUGGGCAAAUAGUUUCAAAUCUUGGUUGGUUCUGCAGCAGUGAACAUCAGAAAUGCAGCAAAACGAGGGAUGAAAAUGGCUCCAAUGAGUCCUAAGAGUAACUAUUGACUAAUGAUUGUUUCGUGGCGUUGUUGUUUCGAUUUGUUCAAGAAUGAAAUCGGUGCGCGGAACCAUCCAGGACUGCUUUCAUGUAUUGGAAAUACUAUUCAUUUAGUUGGCUAAUGUUGUGAAUUAAAGAUUUUCUGCUGGUUUCAAUGUGCAGUGGUUGACGGGUUUCAUGAGCUUUUGGCACCGAGGCGAAAUGCGAACAGCGAGGGUGAGAGUGUUGCCAUGGCACGUCUUUCUUGGUCUCUACACAUAUGGGUUAGCCGUGGCAACAGCAGAAACAGGACUCCUAGAAAAGAUUACAUUCUUGCAAACAAAGAAAGAUGCUUCCAAACACUCCUCGGAAUCCAUGGUUGUCAAUAGUUUAGGACUGAGUUUAGCUUUGCUGAGUGGCAUUAUAAUAUUAGCCGCAGUUUCUCCCAAGUUUCAAAGGGAACUUAAGUACUCUGAAUCAAAGAAAACGAUGACAGUAUGAUGUGCUGUGCGCUUAGUGAUGUUUUAUGUACAUAGUGCAAAUUAAGUGCCUGUUAUUUGUAGCGGUGAAGAUAACGUCUUGCGUCUAUUUUCUAGUUACGGAAUAAUAGAGUGAAACAAAUUGAGUGCAAACACUGAUACAACGUUGUGGAUCACCACGUUGGUUUCCUUUUUCUUUUUUCUUUUUUUUCUUUUUUUCCAGUUGUGCACAAAAACUAAGUGAAUAAAGGAGAAGAGAGGGGAGCAAAGAAAAAUUCGUUGGAGCCACGCCAUGAUUUCACCGGUGACAUGCGCUACCAUAAAAGGAAGGACUCAGUGAGAUGAUUUUGGCAGCACGAGGAGGGCCUGCACGCGCCACCUCAAUACUUUGGCCUUUUUGCUCGUUGACGUGUGUAACUUACACGUCAAAUAAUAUUUUUUUGCUCUCGUUUCAUUUAUUCCAUUUUAAUUUUGUCCUAUAUUUCACAUAAUUGUUUUAUUUGGUCUCCAAUUCUUUGAUAACUCUUUUAUUUAAUCCCAAAUUUCAUCUUACUCUGGGCUAAUUAAGGUCAUACCAGGGAAAAGAAGGAGAUAUAUUGUAAAUCAAGGUUAACCAGGGUAGAUAUAAUAUGAUUUUUCGUAAAACAUUUAUCCCAAAUUCUUUUAUGGCUUUUCAAUUUAGUUUCUUUGAUAACUCUUUAAUUUGAUCUCAAAUUUUAUUCUAGCAGAGAUUAAUUAAAACCCAAGAAAAAUAGGGGAUAAGAAAAGAUUGUCUAAUUGAGUCUGGAUCGUGAAUUCACUAGGUUAAAUAUAUAUAUAUUUUUAAAAAAUUAUCUCGAACUCUUCAAUUUAAUAUCUUUAAUAACUUCUCAGUUUAAUUAUAAAUUUUAUUCAGCCUAGAUUAUUUUUUUAGGUUAUAAAUUUAAUGUUUAAUCUAGAUUAAUAUGAUAUUUUUUAAAAAAUUUCAUUGUUAAUUUUUUUAUAACCUUUUAAUUCGAUAUAAUAUAUAUAUAUUUUUUAAUUUUGUUGCCUAUUAUUUUUAAAUAAUUCAAUCAUCGGACAUUUAAUUAUUUUAUAUUUAAUCUAAUAGGGUUAAACAAAGGUUAAAUCAAAGAAGACCUGAAAAAUUUCUCGGAGCCAGAUUGCUAUUUGAACGGGGCUACUGGUUUACCUUUUAACAGGCUAGAUCAAACGAAAUACACCAACGUUUUUUAUUUUAUUUUUGCAUUUAUUAAAUAUGGUGGUUGAAUAAUUUAAUCCAACACUCGGGUCAAGUUCUUAAUUCGGAUGUCAAAAUUUUUCAUGGCAUGCAUCAAAAAAGAAAUGAAAAGAAAAGGUAAAAGACAGAUGGCAGGUAAAUUUUUGUUUGGUGCUCUAUUACUGGGCCGAUGCUGUUGCUGAUGCUGAUAAAAUAAGAGAGAGACGCAGACCUACCAAAGCAGUACAGUUAAAAGAAGAGGAAGGAACUCCAGCAUCCAAUUUCGCAAACUUGUCUAAUGCUUUGAUCAUUUAAUUUCCAGCAUUAAAAAAAAAUGUUCUAUUCUUCUGCUACUGCAACGGGCACUCCUUCCUCUCUCUUCCUCCGCUCAGCCGUCACUCCGUCACUCCUACUCCUACGACGCCGUAAUCUUUCAGUUCUGAGAUCCGAAAACCCUAACAAACACUUCCGCCUCUCCGCUUCACUCACCGACACGCACCCGCACUUCUCCUGGUCCUCUCCUCCACCUCCAACUGACGAUGACCACUUCAGAGGCUGGGCCUUUCCCGAAUCCCCUCCACAAAGCAGCAACAACAAGAAAGGUUUUUCUCCUCUUCCUUUUGCCUUUUUGCUUUUCCUCAAUUUCAUUUUAGUUUAAGUUUUUAUUCAAUGUGGAUUUCUAGGGUUGCCGAAAAUUGUGAUUAUUGCUGGGAUUGGGACCUGUGUCACUGCUCUGUUAGCUGCCAUUGCAUAUUUCUUGCUCUCUAGAAAAGGUCGGCCUCCUCACUGCUUCAAUUAUGCCAAUUUCGUGUUGCUUCGGUGCUAUAUAUAUAUAUAUAUUAAUAUUAAUAUUAAUAUAAUCUACUGUUAUUACAGGAUUCGAGUUCCGAUUUCAUAGUCCAAGUUCAACUGAGACCACCGUAUAUGAUACAAUUGAAACUAAUAUGUCUGACGAAAAUGCUGCUGCUGCGUCUGACGCAGCCAUGGAGGGUGUAUCUGAUGCCACCGGCAUAACUCUCCAUAAGGGUGCGUUAAAUUAUGUCUCCUCUCGAGUGUUUACGUUGCUCUUCAGUUCUGUUAAUGGUAUUGCUCGUUUCUAGGGUUUUGCAAACUUUAUUUUAGUAGAAAGAAGUCAGCGUUAUCUGCAAUAUACAAAUUGGUUUGUGUUGUUAUCAUAAUGGGUCUAUAAUUGAAGCUUAUUAUGAAGAUAUUUUUCCUUUCAUGUCUUUCCAUUGUCUUUUAUUUCCUUUUUCUAAAACGAAAAUGUUGCAAUGUUGGUCAAAUUCAUCUGAAAUGUUUUGAUUUGGGUUCUUGAAUGUAUCCAUUUGUCUUGUACUUCAGAACCUGCAGAGAAGCUUGAACGUGUGAAAGUGUCGGUUUAUGUGGAUUCUAACCAACUGGAAACUCUAUCGGCGUUAAAGAAACUGAAGGUUUGUUUUCAGAGACUUUUUAUGCAAUUAGAAAAGCUUGUUUCUUACAAAGACUCAUUGUGUUAUUCUCAAUUUAACAUAUGAAGUUGUACAAAGUCAUUUGAUUUACUUCAAUCUUGCUGUCUCUACUUCGAAUGCCUAAACAAACCUUGAGAGGCAUAUGCCAAACCCUUUAAAAAUUCCAUCUCCUGGCUGAUUGGGAGGAGUGUAGGGAUGGAACUUAUGGAUGUGCACCUCAGACGAAUACCAUAGAGAUAUAUGAUCUGCCAGAGUUGGAUUGAAAAUUACUUCCUUCAUUGUCAAGUAGAUGUCCACAAUUGCUAAAGCAUAUUUCUAUUUGAUUAUAAUUGUUGUUAUCUUGUGAUUCUGGUAUUCUAUGGAUUGUAUUCUUUCAACCCUAAGUUCUGCAACUUCAUUGCAGUUUUUUAUUUUUUUUAAAUCUUCAAGGCUUUAUGUCCAGUUCUGAGCAUGAAUUUCUUGACUGUAAUUAAGGUACACAGAUCAUUGAAGAUGAUGUAGCGGCUGAUGAAUUAUGCACUAGGAGGGAAUAUGCAAGAUGGUUACUCCGUCUAAAUUCAAUGUUGGAAAGGUAGCAACCUGUCUAUGCGUCUGAUGGAAUUAUAAUUGUGAAUGCUUUUUGCAAGUCUGCCUCAGCAGCUUUUUUUGGUUUUAGGAAUCAGAAGCAUAGAAUUGUUCCAUCCAUAUCACUUUCUGGUUCAGUAAUAGCUGCAUUUGAUGAUCUGGGCGUUGAAGAUCCAGAUUUUGAAUCCAUCCAAGGUAAGGCUUAAUAUUGAUUUUUGUUUCUAAUCAAGAUUGAGUUUGUUGUUGAGUUCUAAAACACUUGUUUCUGGGUUGCAAAAAGCCCUUGCUGAGUCUGGCAUCAUACCCAGCAAGCUAUCAGGGACGAAUUCCUGUGCUGACAGUUCUGAUGGUAGCAGCUUCUGCUUUUACCCAGAGAGGUAUGGAACAUGCACUAAACCAUACAUUUUUCCAUCUUUUCCACAUAAGCCUUCUCUUCUUCCUCUUCUAAGAACUGGUCCUUUUCUUUUACCCUUUCUUAUUAAUAUAACGUAUCUGGAGGUGCAGGUUUAUUUCUCGGCAGGAUCUGAUCAGCUGGAAAGCUCAAUUAGAGUAUGGUUUUUUACCAGGAAUAACAGAACAGGUUUCAAAUUUGAUUCUUAGAUUUAUUAAAUUGCUUAAAACGAAGUAAAAAUGAGCUUGGUAUUUUCACCAGCCUUUCAUGUCUAUUAAAACCUGACUUGUCUACAGUCCAGAUGUCAAAGACUAAAGUAUAUUAUAUGGAUGUAAAGGAGAUAAGCUCAGAUGCAACACCUGAACUUCUUACCGACAUGUUGGCCGGGGACAGGAGCAUCAUCAGAAAAGUUUUUGGUAUCUUUGCCUUCACUUUCCCCUUCCCUUAUUUCUUUUCCUGUGACUAUAAUUAGAGUAUUUUAGCCUUUUAACUUUUUGACAACAAACAACUCAAGUUAUUAAAUGCAUUCUGUUGACUACCUUAUGCAAGACCCACAGGUGGUGUAUAUUUAACUCCUCCCCUGUGGAUUACCACUACACGGAAAAAGAAACCUUAGGCUUGUACAAGUCUGUAGGAUUCAGAGUUUAGUGAUUUCAAAGCAAAUGCUCGUGUCAUAGAAUUACAUAUGAAGAUUAUGAUUCCUUGUUCAAAUCUGCACAGGACAGAGCAGGCGGUUUCAACCAAAUAAACCUUUAACAAAGGCACAAGCAGCAGUUGCUCUGACAAGUGGCAGGAUGUCUGAAGCAGUUUACAAUGAAAUAUUGAGGCUGGAAGCAGAGAAGUCUUUAAGGCAAGCUGCAGUGAAAGAAAUUAGGAAUGAAUUUCUUGAGAGAGGAGAUAUAAAAAGGUUUUGGGAUGAGAAGAUGAAUGAAGAAAACAUCCGAGGUUUUGAGGUUGAGAAGCUUUAUAUUGCUGCUUUACAUGAAUUGGAAGAGGAGAAAAUUGUACAGGUGAAAACUUACGAAGAGUAUUUGAAGGAGAAGGCAGCUAUGGAUUGUCAGAGGCAACUGCUGCUCCAUCUGAAGGAAGAGGUUGAUGAGAUGUCAGAAAGGCUUGCAUCUGAGAGGUCUGUGUAUGUAGCUGAGCAGUGUAAUCUGCAGGAAUUGCUUAGUAAUUUACAGUUUAAGCAGGAAGUGAUGCUUGAUACAAAAUCUAUACUGGAAGCUGAAAUUGAAGCUCUUCGAAUCCUCAGGCAAGUAUUACAAUUCAGUCUUCAUGUUGAUUGUCUUUAUACUCAUUUGCUGUAUGGCUGUUGUAAUAAUUUUCUGAAGCUGUUCUGGAUUUAUAGUUUCUCUUUUUAACACAGAACUAAUUCUUCCACUGAUAUAAUCAAUGCUAUCAUUAUUCUUUGGUUGUUUUCAAUUUGGAAUUUGCUCUGUCAGUAUGAGAAGUAGUGGCAUCUGUGAUGAAUUGGAAGUCUGCUUCCCAUCAUGGCAUGCAGAGCUGGAAGUGGAUGUCUAAGAAAUCUAUUGAUAAACAUGAUGUAUUUUCUACUAUUUCAAACAAUAAUCAGUUCCUAACCUUAACUGAUACCUGUUUUCAUCUUGGAUCUGAUGCUAUAUUUAAUGAAGAUCGUCUAAGAAAUCAUGCUAUUCCAAAUUAUUCUAUUUUUUGUGAGCAUAAUUUUGCACUGAAUAAACCUUUUUUUUUCUUUUCCCGUGUUUGGUAAUCUCCCUUUCUGUUAAUUUUAUGAUAUGUUCACGGUUCUCCUUUUCUAAUGACUGGAAGCAAUUAGUGCAGAUCUUGGGUAGAAGAUGAGGCAAGGAAAAGCCAAGCCCGAGCUAGAGUUCUGGAGGAGGUUGGACGAAGGUGGAAAUGGGACAAUCAAGCCUGAACAUACCAGUGCCUUAGCAGGACUUCCAAUAAUUACCCCUAUGUUUUUUCAUGUAGGGUUGUAUAAGAUACCGCGGAUGUGAAGAUUGAUUCGUGAAUUGUUAUGGGGGAUUUUGGUUUCUCUUCUUCUUUGUAAUAUAGUCACCAUGUAUGUUGCUUCUUCUGGAUUAAUUAAUCAAGCAAUUUGAGAAUAGAUGAGAUACUAGGGGAUAUAUCAGGAGCAUUUCUUCCUCCAAUUUGUUUCCAUUUGGUGGCAAGCCUUUAAUAGUUUGCUGAACCCGAGAGUCGAUGCCAGUUAGAGCUGUAGUGAUAAAUGCCUCAGGUUGGGACGGCCGCUGUUUCCAUGCUUGUCUGUAUGAUGAUUGUUCUCGAUGAAUGAAUUCAAGGUGUAUUCUCUAUCUGCUCUUCGAGAAUACCAAACUGAAACGAAAGGUUGGAAGAGUGUUUUCAUCCAUGGUGUUCAUCUGAAGAAUAUGCAGAAAAACAAGUUUUCAUGAUACACCUUUCGUAGUUCCAUGUAUGGGGAAGGCUAGGAAAUCUCCAGGACAACUAGUAAUGUGCCAUGGAAAGUUUACAACGAAACCUUUAAGUUGAAGAUGCUGCGAGCUCCUAUCAAUUCUUUGGACGGCGAACGAAUCAUGGAAAUGCUAUGAUUACAGGAAGAAAGUAAACAUCAGGAUAGGAGCUCGCUUCUCUGUGGUCACUGCCCUGGCAGUGCUGGACUUCACAUUCUUGUCAAUUUACCCCAAGCAUGCCCACCAAGAAAGUGGUGGCAUCAAGUGAUUAAGCUAUCAAGUUAGGGCAAACUAGUAAUUUGGGGAAGAUGAGUGCUUUUGCUUGACUUGUUACUGAACUCAAUUACCGAAAGCUUUCAAAAAAAGUCAUUGCCGCCCAUGCACUUGAGUUGGCGCUGCAAAUUGCAAUGCUAUCCACUCCACUUUCCCUUUUUUAUGUGCUUGUUUCCACCAUAAGGCAAAAGCCAAGAUUUGUGGUUCAAUCUGGGCUUCAUUCAUGCUCAGCUCUCAGUAUUCAACCAUGCUUUGGCUCCAGUUUCUUUGCCCAUUUUCUUCAUAACACCAUACCUGGUAUGCCUUCUUUUACCCCGCCCUCAAUUUUGUUUUUUUGCUCUGUAAAUGCAAAUGUAGAUUUUCCCUUUUUUUUUUUUUUUUUUUGUUAGGAAGAGACUACUUUAAUUUGUCUUCUCCAGAACGAGGUGCCUAAACAGACCCCAUGUGGUUAUAAUUAUAUUAUUUUCAGGAGACCACAAAAAAAAAAAAAAACAAAAAUAAUGAGAGCCCAUUCUUCUGGAUUGGCUUGGUCUUUUUGGAUGAUAAUUCGGCUGCUACAUUGUUAGACAGUGCUGACCACUCAUUUCUCAUGAAGCAGAAAAGGGAUAAUUGCUCGUGUUUUUGUUUUGCUUCAUUUUUUUUUUGGGGCUUCUUCGAUUUAUCUCAUGGACCAGUUUACACCCACAAAUUCCUCGGCCAGCAAUGGAUAUUGAUGAGUGCUAGCGUUUCUGUCAAAUUUGUCUGCUCCUGAAUUUGCCAGCUCACCCUCUUGAUAGAAUUUUUUUUUCUUGGAUUCAUUUGCAUUAUUUUGUCAAUGGUGCUUAAUUCAUGACUAGAAAGCAAAGACAAAUAGAUUGCUGUACGAAGAUGUUACUUUGUGAGCUUCUCAUAUCCUGGAGUUUCCCCCAAAUAUGCCAUAAAAAAAAUCCAAAAUGAGAGUAAAAGGUCGAAGGAACCCAUGAAUUUCACCAAAUAAACCAAAACUUUUUAGCUAGAGAUAAGAAAUUCUAGAGAAAAGCCAAAAAAGGGCAAAGUGUGAAAUGAUCAAUCAUUCACAAAAAAGUUUGCCUCACUUUUUAUAUGCUUGGCUAACUUCUUACAUAGGCUCCAGUCCAUUAAGCAAACAGAUGGGAAUUAAAUUUCAACCUUGCUUCUACAAUCCCACUUGUUCAAUCUUUCCCCUUCCUCCUGUUUCAAUCCCAAUAAGAGGGGAUCCACCGAUCUCCAUGCCCUCUGAACUAGACCCGCUUCUUAAUAUUAUGUCCUUACUCCACUCCUAAGUACCUGUGCUGAUCCCUUGCCUUAAAUCAAAGAUUUUUACUUUCUGCCAACGAAGCAUCCAAUGUCUAGGAUGCAUGGCUUUAUCUGGAGUAAAUCCAUCUUUCUUAAAUUACACCAAUUAAACUGUGGUCACUCCUCCAAUGAAAACGACAACCCAGAAAAGGUCAAGUUCAAUCGGAUGGUUAGGAUUUCUGAUAGAUAGUUUGAUCUUUGAGUUUUGAUCAACUUGAAGCUAGCUAGGGUUUUUAACUGGACAGACAAACACCUAAGUAUUGCCUGCUAAUAGCAGCCAACAGAAUCAUUUAUUAGGAGGCUUGAAAAAAAAAAAAAAAAAGACCCCGCAGCUCUCUUCAUAUUUAACAUCUUUUUUCUUUUUUACACUUACACAACAAUUAGAUGUUAGGUAAGAAACUAGAUGCGUUAGGGGUGGGCUCAAGUAGUUGCUAAAAAAUUUACAGUGGUGGUUGUCUCUUUCGGGCUGUUUUCUGGUUUUCUUAACUCUAUAUAUAUUCCUAUGAAACGAAAUGGUAAAAUGAUAUACCUACAAAAUUUUUGCGAUUUGUUAACAUCCUUCUGGAGCAAAACUGGCCACUAGUUAUACUGGUGGUUGCUGUAGCUCUUAGCAAGACAGUUGGAUGGAAUUCAGCUUAUCAGGAACUCUUCGUGGACAAACAAGUCGUUGUUUGAGAUGUCCGUAAACCUGAUAAGAUGAUAAUGCAGAUUUUCCUAGAAACUAUAUAGAUAAAGCCACUGAAUUUGAAAAUAAUUAUAAGUUUGGUAAUCUGGGUUUUAUACAGGCUUUGCACUGGUGUUUCUUAUUAAGCGCUAUUGGCUGUUGCAGAGUCUGGGUAGCUCUUGGUGCAUUUCCAGAGACAUGAUGGCUUGAAUUCUCAGUUAUGGAGAUAGGGAGACAUGGGUGGAGAGGUGCUUUGGGACUGGUUUGUUUCUAUAGAUGAGUGGAAGGUUAGGAUUCUGCUACCGACAAUACCUACAUGAUAGUCAGGUUAGGCUUCCUGGUUGCUGCUUCAGUUGCAGCCUUUGCAGCUAAACAGCUUCAUGUAAAAACUGCAAAGUCAACAGACUCUUCAGCCAAGCAUUCAGGUAACAGAUUCUACAAGUUUUAGUCAUAAUUUUGUCUUUUAUCAGAAAGCUGAAAGAGUGCAUCUAUGCUGAUAUCUACAUAAACACAUAAUAUAAGACAUGGAGUUAAUGUAUUGUACAUAUAAAAACUUCCUUAAAAGACUUCUUUUCUAUGCUGAUAUGCUUACAUGCUUCUUGCAUUUCGUGGUUACUCUCUGGUCGAAUUGAAACUCAGAAAAUGGUGAAGCAAGCAUUGAGCAACAUCAAAUCAAAGGAGAUGACAGAGAACAGUUUACAUAUUUUGAUGAUAGCAUUAAAGAGAAGGAUGUAAGUGCAUACACAAACUUAAAUCAAUUUUUUAUCUCAAUUUAGACCACAGAAGUAUGUGAGGUGAUGUUUUCCAUUAUUUUCUUUGAAUUAAUGUGCAAUAUAUAUUGCAGGUGGAGGAAGAAGAAGAGGAAGAAGAGGUCAAAUUGAUUAAUAGCAUAUUUAACCAUGCUCAAGGUACUCCACCUGGUAUGGAAGAUGAAGAUAUUCUACCUGAAUUCGAAGAUCUUCUGUCCGGGGAAAUCGAUUAUCCAUUACCUGGCGAAAAGUUUGACCAAGCAGAGAAGGACAAAAUUUAUGAAACUGAGAUGGCAAACAAUGCAAGUGAGCUGGAAUGUUUGCGCAACCUAGUAAGAGAAUUGGAGGAGAGAGAGGUAAAGCUUGAAGGUGAAUUGCUCGAGUACUAUGGGUUGAAGGAACAGGAAUCAGACGUCGUUGAAUUGCAAAGGCAGCUCAAAAUUAAGACCGUUGAGAUUGACAUGCUAAAUAUUACCAUCAAUUCCCUGCAAGCUGAGAGGAAGAAGCUUCAAGAAGAGAUUUCGCAUGGAGCUUCUUCCAAGAAGGAAUUGGAAAUGGCAAGGAACAAGAUAAAGGAGCUUCAGAGGCAAGUUCAGCUUGAUGCUAACCAGACGAAGGGCCAGUUGUUAUUGCUCAAACAACAAGUUUCUGGUCUUCAGGCAAAAGAGCAAGAAGCUGUGAAAAAGGAUGCAGAGGUUGAAACGAGGCUGAAGGCUGUGAAGGAGUUGGAGGUAGUAGUUGUGGAACUUAAGAGGAAGAACAAAGAGCUUCAACAUGAAAAGAGAGAGUUGAUUAUUAAGCUGGGUGCUGCUGAAGCUAAAUUAACAUCCCUCUCCAAUUUGUCAGAGGUAAGAGCCGUAGUUUUCGAUCAAGAAAUUCUUAAGCACAUUCUUGAGGUUUUUCAUCUUUUUUCCUCGGUGAAUUCUGAGGGUGGAUGUUGGCGUAUUGUUUAUGCUCGCCUUUUAUUUUAAGAGAGAUGCUGUCGUCUUAUCCAAUCUGUAAAGCGCAACAUGUUUCCUUUUGACAAUGGGUUCAGUAGUGCAUAAAUAUUCUGGAGAAUUGAGUAACAAUUAAACAUGCUAGGUGUUUGGGCUUAUUUUCUCCCAAUCACCUUUGUAGUUAACAUCUUUUCUCUAGUAACUGCUACGCAGUAAAGGAUAUUUAGUUUCGGCAAGUUUGAGAUACGAAAUAGAAAAAAAUAAAGUUUUCAUAGAUAUUUAGGAAAAGCUUAUUUCUGGAAUAUAGUUAAACAUAUUCAGUGGACAGAAUAAUUAAAUUUUUGUUUUAUAUCUUAAACUUAUGAUCUGCGUUUGUUUACAUGAUUACUUAAAUUUUCCUCUCUGUGCUGUCUAAUGGUGCUGCAGACAGAAAUGGUUGCCAAGGUAAGAGAGGAGGUCAAUAAUUUAAAGCACGCAAAUGAAGACCUGUUAAAACAAGUGGAAGGACUUCAAAUGAACAGGUUUAGUGAAGUUGAAGAGCUAGUGUACCUUCGUUGGGUCAAUGCAUGCUUGAGGUAUGAGCUCCGGAACUACCAAACACCUUCAGGAAAAGUUUCAGCUCGUGAUCUCAAUAAAAGUCUGAGCCCCAAGUCCCAAGAGAGGGCUAAACAACUACUGUUAGAAUAUGCCGGAUCAGAACGAGGACAAGGAGACACAGAUAUGGAAAGCAACUAUUCUCACCCAUCUUCUCCUGGAAGUGAGGACUUUGACAAUACUUCCAUUGACAGUUCUUCUAGCAGAUACAGUUUCAGUAAGAAACCUAAUUUAAUUCAAAAACUGAAGAAAUGGGGCAGAAGCAAAGAUGAUUCAAGUGCCUUUUCUUCACCAUCCAGAUCCUUCUCAGGAGUAUCUCCAAGCAGGUCUAGCAUGAGCCACCGACCAAGGGGUCCGUUGGAAUCCUUGAUGAUAAGGAAUGCAAGUGAUACUGUAGCCAUCACCUCAUUUGGAAAGAUGGACCAGGAUGCUCCUGACUCUCCUGGUGACUCACUAAAUUCUGUUGCUUCAUCUUUCCAAGUAAUGUCUAAAUCGGUGGAAGGAGUUUUAGAUGAGAAGUAUCCUGCCUAUAAAGACAGACACAAGUUGGCCUUAGAAAGGGAGAAGCAUAUUAAGGAAAAAGCAGAAAAAGCAAGAGCAGUGAAGUUUGGUGACAGUUCAAAUUUUCAGUUUGGAAAAAAGGGGGAGAAAGUUAUACCCAUAACUUUGCCAGCUAAACUUUCCCAAAUAAAAGAGAAACCAGUUGCCUCUGGUGAGUCAAGUGAACAAUCUAGUGAUGGUAAGGAUGUUGAUUCGCAGACAGUAAGCAAGAUGAAAUUUGCCCACAUCGAGAAGAGGCCUCCUAGGGUGCCGCGGCCUCCUCCUAAAUCAUCUGCUGGUGCUCCAGUUGCUACAAAUGCCAAUCCUUCAGGUGGAGUGCCACCUCCUCCACCAGGUGCACCACCACCACCACCUCCUCCACCUGGUGGACCACCUCGUCCACCUCCUCCACCUGGAAGCUUGCCAAGAGGAGCAGGAAGUGGUGAUAAAGUUCACCGGGCUCCGGAACUAGUAGAAUUUUAUCAGAGUUUGAUGAAACGCGAGGCAAAGAAGGAUACAUCAUCUUUGAUUUCUUCAACAUCUAAUGUAUCAGAUGCUCGCAGCAACAUGAUAGGGGAAAUUGAGAACAGAUCAUCUUUCCUGCUGGCUGUGCGUUAAAUAUUUGCCUUUAAUUUUGUUUUCCUUCUUAUUUUUCUCAUAAAAUAGUCUCACUGCCCUGAUCUGCUAAUGCAAAAUUCCAUGUGCUGGAUCCAGGUGAAAGCAGAUGUAGAAACUCAAGGUGAUUUCGUCCAGUCAUUGGCAACUGAAGUUCGAGCGGCUUCCUUCUCCACCAUAGAUGACUUGGUGGCCUUUGUAAACUGGCUCGAUGAGGAAUUAUCUUUCUUGGUAUGUCGUUUACUUCCUAGUGGGAAAAUUUGGUAGUUAUCUAUCAGAGCUAACGACUUUUUAAAAUAAGAAAAGGGAUGAGGGAUCUCAUGCGGUUCAAGGGCAAAGAUAGUUUCAGGAAAUAUGGAACACAUAUACAUUCCACAUUCAAAUCAUCACGCUAACCCUUAGUAAUAUAGCUUUUAAUACUAUUAUCUCUCAUUCAGAAUUUUCUUUUAGCAAUAACUCACCUCCAGAAAACCUACGAACUCUUUGCUUCCUUCAGUGCUUUAACUGGCACAGUGGAAGAAUAAAGAGAAACUUCACCUGCCAAAUAUUUGCAAAUGUAACGUUUCCUUGGCUGCUAGGUUAUUGUUCAAGACUCUGAUCACAUCAAUUCAUUUAUUUUUAUUUUUAUUUCUUUAGGUUGAUGAACGAGCAGUUCUCAAGCACUUUGAUUGGCCUGAAAGUAAAGCUGAUGCAUUGAGAGAAGCAGCUUUUGAGUACCAGGAUCUCAUGAAAUUGGAGAGGCAAGUAACCUCUUUUGUUGAUGAUCCCAACCUCCCUUGUGAAGCUGCUUUAAAAAAGAUGUACAAAUUGCUCGAAAAGUAAGUACAUUCUUCUUCUCAUGCUUGUUAAAUAGAUUAUAGAACUCCGAGAAGAUUGGAAACUUACUACUUACUACCAUAUUUUAUGUAUGGGAUUCAAAUUAUAAAUACUAUUCUCCUAGGAGUUGUCGUGGUGGCCUGAUAACUUCUACCAUAAUAAACUGUUAGGAGAUAGUUUAUUCUUUCAACUGGCUUAAUUUCCCGUCUUAUUUUUCUUUUAUUCUUUGCCAGAGUGGAAAACAGCGUUUAUGCACUAUUGCGUACAAGAGACAUGGCUGUUUCACGAUACAGAGAGUUUGGAAUCCCAACUAAUUGGUUAUUAGAUUCAGGAGUUGUUGGCAAGGUAUGCUUAAAACGAGAAGAUAUAAAUUUUGAUGUAUGUAUACAUGGAAUUAGUUAUGAAAAUGUUUGUGCUCUCUAUCUUUUGGCUCAUAGAAUCACGUUUUCCUCAACAAUUGCAUAUUUAACAGGUUAUAUUUUAUUUAUCUGUUGAUAGAUAUGAUGAGCAAGGUUAUGACCAAAACUCAUACAUGCCGAUGAUUCAGCAAGACACAUUUUGUCUUGUUAAAAAUAUGGCCUUGAAGACAGCUUUAUGCCAUUGCUGUGACAGCCUUUUUUUUAGCGAUGGAUACAAAAUUUACUCAUGAUACGAGAAUAAUUUAUGUUUGUAUCAAGUAUCCAUAAAAAUGCAGAUCAUUAAGGGAAAAACUUCCAUUGUUUCAAUACCGAAGUUGGUCACGUAACAUCUUUCUCAUUGCAGAUCAAGCUCUCAUCAGUGCAGUUGGCAAGAAAGUACAUGAAGCGUGUUGCAUCAGAACUAGAUACAAUGAGUGGACCUGAGAAAGAACCAAACAGAGAGUUUUUGGUACUGCAAGGUGUUCGUUUCGCUUUCCGUGUUCAUCAGGUAUAUUUUAUCUCCAUGUUAAAUUUGAAUACUGGAAUGCAAAUUAUCCGGAUGGUGAUUAGAUGGAAACUUUAUGGUACUGCCAGGGUGGUAGCAAAUUAUCUCUGGUGUCUAUAUUUCCAUAGCAUUUAAUCACAGGCUAACCUUAUAGCAUUGAAAUGCAAGUUUCUUAUCAAUCUGCAAAUUUGUCUCUUGACGUGGAUCUAUUUCCAGUUUGCUGGAGGCUUUGAUGCAGAGAGCAUGAAGGCUUUUGAAGAAUUGAGGAGCCGUGUACGUUCACAAAUGGGAGAAGAGAAUAAGAUGGAAGGGUCAUAAUUUUCUGUUGUAUAUUGCGUCAUCUCAUUUCAUGUCUUCAUAGAACAUCAUAUAGAUUGGAUAUUGUAGAAAAAACCAGUCCAGCUUGAGCCAACAAAGGUUAAAGUUACUUUAUACAGGGAAAUAUUUAUAAAUUUUAUUGUCCUUUGACCGUCUCAAGUUUAGUUUGGGGAAAAAAAACGCAGGAAAACGGAUUUCAGGGUAGCAUAGCGUUGUUAAGAUGCUAUGAAGUCGACAUGGGCUGAAUAGCUGGAAGUAGAAAAAAAGGAUUUGUAAUUGCUCAAGACUUUUGGCAAGUGAAUAAUCACAGUUUCAACUUCACCUCGUUACAGAAACUUGAAACCAAAAAAUAUAGGCACCAGUGUAUCCUGGGCAUUAGACUUGUUUGGUUAAAUGUUCAGUUAAUGAGGGAGUGAUAUUUGUUAAUGGUUUCUCAGUCGAGCCUCACAUAAGAUUUCUGUUUUCUGUACUGCUAGUUUAUCAAUUAACAUUGUCCUGCUUUAGAAGCUAAGUUAAUGAACUCUAUGGCGUCUCAAAGACAUUGAAAAUCCACGGUAAUGAAAUAUUAGGUGUAAAUUCGCAUCUCGGUGGGAAGUAGAGAGGCGAUAUUGUGUACUUUGCUCUCCGAGGAAUGAAACUGUUACAGAGAAUCCCUCAGAAAGCCCGUGAGGUAUUUUUUUUCCUCUUCAAAUAUGAUCUUCAUGCAAAAUAUCGUAUAGAAAAGAUUUCAGCUUGGAUGCAUAGAUAGUUGGCAAAAUGGGUAACGGGUAAAUUUCUCUUUCCUUGAUGUUUCAAGAUGUUUAGGAAUAAAAUAAAUGUGUUGAUUAAUUAGUUGAUCUCUUAGUUUAAGUAAUAUGAUCUAUUCUUCAUAGUCAAAAUAUCUGGUAACUUGAUAUGAAAAGCCCAGAGGGUUGGUAACUAGUAGCAGGUAAUGUCUGGUAAGCCAGGUGACCAGUAGCUGUUAUCUGCAAAAGGUAUCAUUUCAUAAACAUAGGAACUCUCUAAUAAUAAAGUCAGUAACUUUAUUAAGAGAAAAAGUGCAAUAAUAUUCUAAAAAAAAAUGCUUUGAAAAUAUGUAUAUACAGUAGAGAAUGAAGAAAUUAUGAACCUUUAACUUGAAGGAUUCAUGGUGUAUUUAUAACCCAUGCAUUUUAUCCUUUCAUGGAGAUAAAGAGUUGGAGUGUAAUUUUACUUUUAUGAUAUUUUAAAUUGUAUUCUACUCAAAAUAAUACAUAUUGGAUCAAUAUAAAAUACUAAGAGACCCACAUAGGGUUUCGAAAAAAUCCCUAGCAAAUGUCGGGCUUGAGCCUAUUAAAGGUAAGAAAUGGGUCCAGACGAACUGUCUGGACCCAAGCAUGUUGGGCUCAGGACGAGCUCCCAAGCCCACAGGGGGUGCUAGGAUGCACGUCCAGCAUGGAAUCAGGCUUCAUGCCCAAGCCCAUGUCCUCUAAGGAGUUGGGCUUGGGCUCGGGCAGUAGCUGGAGCCCAAGCUCCUUAGGUGUUGGGUUUGAGCUACCAUGCUCGAGUCCACUUCUUUGCCCUUCUACUAUACUUUGGGCUCAGAAUACUAAGCCUGAGCCCAUAGAGUAUUCUUGUUGGGUCUAUUUUGAGGAAAUGUUUUUGGUCCAUCUUGGGCGGGUUUGAGUUUAUUUUAUUUAGAUCCAUCAGCAGCCCCCUAAGUUUUUGUGGUAUUAAUCCAUAAAAACUUAUAAAAAUACAUGAUUACCAUGACGAGUUCUUCGAAUUUUCUUCAUAUAAGAAGAGGGGUUGAAACCCCUAGUAAUAAACUAGAGAACCCGUGUGUGGGUAUGCACCAUAUUUUAAAAAAGUUAUAAGUAUGUAGAGGGGAAUUAUGGAGGAACUCAUACUUAAUUUUUUUUUUUUAAAAAAAGGUUAGUUGAGAUAUAAAAGACUUUAUACUUAGAAAAAAAUUCAAAAAAUUUAAGUGGCUGGUGCAUACCCACACACGAAGGGUAUGAGGAACUCAAGAAGGUGAGUUCCAUGAAGGUGGUCUUAUUUUAAAAAGGUGGUCUUAUUCAACUAGGAAAACUCAAGAAGAGUGGUGGAAAUCCAUAGAGGGUGACUCCUGGUUAUACCCAUACUUAGAAGAAUUUAUGAAUAGGGGAGAGUAUAAAUCCAUUGAAGGUGGUCUUAUUCCACUAGGAAAACCAAGUUCAUCCCUUGAAGAGUGGUUACGCUAGAGUGUGAGAGGUAUGUGGCCUCCCUAGAUGGCAUGAGGCAUGAAAGCUCUUAAUUAAAGAAAGAAAGAUCUCACCAAAUAGUAAAAGAUCUGUAACAUCUCUUAUGAUGGCGUGGGUGGUUUGAGAGCUCCUAGAAGGUUUGUAACCUCCCUUGUGAUGGUAUGGGAGCUUAAGAGCCUCUCAUUGAAGAAUGAUCAAUGAUGCAUGAGAGAUAUAUGACCUUUCUAGGAUGGCAUGAGACAUGAGAGCUCCUUACUGGAGAGUAAUGCUAAUUCGAGAUUGUAUUGGAAAGGUGGAAGAUCCAAGAUCAACCCCUAGUAAAAUGGUGAAAGGCCCUUAGGCAUCACUUAGAGAAUAGGGAUCUAAGAUCAACCCAUAGCAAAUUGGUGAGAGGCCUCUAAGAAUCAUUUAGAGAAUGAGAGAUCUCAGAUUAACCCUUAGCGAAUUGGUGAGAGGUCUCUAGGUAUCACCUGAAAAAUAGAAGAUCCUAAAUCAACCCCUAAUGAAUUGGUGAGAGGCCUCCAAACAUCACCUGGAGAAUAGGAAUCCUAAAUCAACUCCUGACGAAUUGGUGAGAUGCCCCCAGGGAGAUCAAGUCAAUCCCUUCUUUAGAAAGCAUCUUGAAGCUCCUACUAAAAAUCAGUAGAUGGGGAAUGUAUGUCAAAGAUACAUUAUUUUUAUUUUAAAAAUAAACUUACAUUCCUAUUAAGGAUUAUGCAUCCUAAGGUGAUCUGAGUAAUAUGUACAAAGGAGGUUUUUAGAAGUAUUAUGCCUUGGAAGUGGUACCAAGAUGUUUGCUUUCACUACCUUGAUAACUUCAAAUGAGUGAUUCUUAUGAUACAUCAAAUGACCAUGGGUUGACCCCUCAUGGUUUUUUCUCGAACUUUCAUUUUUAUCAAGAGAAUGAUUUCACCUUGAAGGUUCUUGGUUAUCCAUGUAAUAAGAAAGAGGCCCAUGUCAUAGAAAAUCAACUUCUUCCACCGGGUAUGUAAUUUUCGAUAACUUGUUUCACCUUGAGCAAACUUUUGUCUGGUAAGGCAUAAAGUUUUAUCCAAAAGGUAUGUUCUCUUACCCCUCUUAUAAAGUUUUAUCCAAAAGCUAAUGGAUCAAUCAAUUCUUUCACCUUAAGUAUCUUCUCAUUAAACCUAUUUAAACAUGCACAUGUAAACUCGCCUUUUUGUCAAGUAACAUCAAAUAGUUUCGUGGAGAUUUUCUUGGCGGGUAUGUUGGUGCUAAGGCGUGCCACUAGCUUAGCACAUAGGUCAUUGAACCCAUCGAUGGAACUUGGCUCUAAAUUAUUUUACCAUGCAUGCGCAGACCCCCAAAAGGUUAUCGGGAUGAUUUUGCAUAUUGAGUCACUGACCAACUCUACAACUGUUGGUUGAAUGGAAUUUAAAUGUUGUCUUCAAAGGCUACAACUGUUUAUGUACACUUUCAUGCACUCAAAGCUGGACACUGUGUGCAAUAGUUGUAGGUAAAGAGCAAUAAUCAGAUUUAUUCCAAAGGGUAAAUGACCCCGAAACCAAUAGCCACCAUCAGAUAAAAUCUGUUAUCGAUGCUCCGCACAUCAAUCUUGGACAGUCAAGAACAAAAGCAAGAAUACAUGAAAACUAGUCUCUUGCAGUCACACUAUCGCAUUGUGAUUACAAGACUUCUGUCAAAGAACUUUGCACCUCCCAACUUACCUUGAAUGUUUGUUGGGAGACAGAUUACACGUCUCUGGUCCCCUGCUUCAACCAACAAUUCAGAUCCUCCUCUAUACUGCAUUUAUUAGGAAAGCAUAAAAAAUUAUGUUAAAGUUACUAAACAAACUGAUUAAACAAAAAAGGAGCAAAAAGAUCUUUUUGCAACUAUCCCACCAAAAAAAACAGGAUACACAGUUGAUGAUGCCUAAAUCAGCGAAUUGAGUAAAAUUUGUGAAUUUUUCGCAUUAAAACCAUGAAUCCAUACUUUUCAUUAUUGGAAUUAAAGCUACUUAACACUUGUGCAAUAAAUCUACAGUUCAAAUAAGGAUCUUCUUUUCCAUUUUAAAGGCUCAUGGCUUUUAUUCAAGGCGCCAAUCAAAUCUGCUAACUACAAUUGCGGAACUAACAUGAAUUCAAUUUACAAAACUAAGCUCAGAUUAUUAUUAUAUUUCAAGAGACGCAAGUAGCUUUCUGUAUCCUCUUAAUUACAAUGACUUAAAUGCCAGAAUACAAUACUAAUUCUAAGAGAUUAAUCCUUCCUAGGAGUUCAUUUUAUGUAUCCUCUUAAUUACAAUGACUUAAAUGCUAUAAUAUCUAACGAAUUCUGGAAGUGCAUGAAGCUACUCGUGUCUCCCUUGGAAUAAUAUCCCAGGCAUAUGAAUUUCUCUUUUUUCAACCAAGACUCAAAAGAACUGCAAUUAUAGAAAACACUUUCUGAAUUGAUAAAAGAUUUCACAAGGACCUUCCGACCUAUGGAAAAAAGGGAGGUUUUUCCAGCCAUUUAACUACUAUUGCAAACUGAAGUAACUAAAACAAAUUUGGACAGUUUGUGAAACAUGAUGAAGAUCUUUGGAAAAAAAAAACAUAUGAAGGAAAGGGAUAUACUUGGUAUAGCUUGAUCUCUGACUUGUCAAAACCUGGCAUGAAAAGAGUAACUGAUUUUUCAGCAGCGUCAAACUUUACUGGUGGUGCCAUGCUAUUGCUGUUACUUGCUGGCAAAGAAAAUAAAGUUCUUGCAUCAUGACCAACAGUGUUUAGCAUGACUGAAUUCCAUUCAGGAGGGUAACCUAUUGAGAGAUGUGGAAUGAAAGCAAAAGGCAAGGGCAAAAAGUUUUUCUUGACUCCUUCCAAUGAUUCUUCAUUGAAAUGUGGUGAAGAAAUUCCAAUUGCACCAGAAACUUGCGCACCAGCUUGGAGGGUACAGCCCCAAUAACGCAAAGCAGAAUUCACUGAUGCUGGAAUGUUAGGGUCCAUCACAAGAUAGCAUCCAAAUCUAGAUGGUUCAUAAAAAGCAGAAGAUCCUCGCUGCAGUAUAAUAAACACAAAAUCCUAUCAAGUUUGUGUAGAAAUGGAGAAGCAAGAAGCGUGAAUCACAUUUACCAUUAGCAUUGUUUCCAAACUGUCCCAUAUUUCAGCACUCGUUUUCCUGUUCAAAUUAUAUUUGCUACCACUUAAACUCAAUGCUUCAUCAACAAGGCUCACGAGUGAAGGACCAGCUAAUCUCCCAAGAUCAGUCUUCUCGGCCAAAUUCCUCAGAUAUUUCAAAUACAAUCUGAGACAGUUAUGUUGUUCAAUACAGACAGAAAUAUGAGAGAGAGUUGAGUUGGGGAGGUUAGAAAUUCAACUAACCUUGCUUUACUAGCUGCUCCUAUCAUUCGAAGAGUUUCAUCAGUGCUGACUCCAUCAUAUACUAUUAUGUCAAAUUUAUCUUUGUUGGUCUGGUUAACAUUUAAUGAUCCUACAAGCCCUGCAAGUGCAUAUACUGCAAAAAUAGAAUCCAUUGCCGGAAGCACACCAAGCUCUUCUCCAACCACCUUCACAUUAUGAUAAAAGAUACAGAACAUUCAGGGAAGUGCACUAUUUGAUGACUAUGAUACAGCACAAGCAUAUUGAGAGAGCCACUACAUACCUACCCCUUCGAGAACUCCUUGAGUCAUCUUAAGACGAGAAUCGGCUUGCUUCAGCCGAUCAAGAGGCUCAAGAAGCAUCUGCAGAUAUCAAGAGCAAUUAUCAAUGCGCCCGCACCAUUACAUUAAAAUUUUGAAGUUCCAUAAAGAAACAAGAAAAAAGAAGUGAAAAAACACACUUUACUGGUUUCCAACCUAACAGCCCAAAGGUUGUCACUGCACUCGGUAGGAGAAGUUCCAAUCUUAUAGUUCAGUAGAUAUUCAGCAGAGGGAUCUUGGGUCUGUAUCACCAAGCAUGUCCGAAGCCCAGACAUUGCAUAAUGCUGGAUGAAAAUCGGCAAAACAAAGCAAAAAAUAAAAAAAUUAAGAUCCCACCGCAACUUGCACAAAUUGCGUAAAAAAUAAAAACAAAAACUAUGCAAAGUAAAUAAAACCAAUGUUUAAACUAGUAAGAAGAAAUACGGAGUAUUAACUAUCUUCAAAUUAAUCUACAGUAGAAAACAGUGACCAAAAGGAAAUUCCAUCUGGAAAAAACUUUGGUUUAUUUUUCUUAAAGUCUCCUAGAUAUCAUUCAUCUACUUUGAUUCAAUCACAUUACAUUCCAGUCUACCACAUCACAAGCAUGCAUUUGAUUCAGACAGUUCAAAAUCAUAAAAGUAUUGUCUCUUCGAUAAAUUAUUAAAAACUGCAAACAGAGAUCAUAAGGCCAUAGUUCCAUCAUAAUGCCCUUCCUUUAACUAUAAAUUUCAGACUUUUAACCCAUGAAAAAAACACCAAGUAAAUAUUAACAUAACUUAUUGAAUACGGAAAAAGAGAUUGAAACAAAUUGACUUAAGUUGAAUAGCAAGAAUUCAAGGAAAGAAGAACCUGGGCAGCGAAAAUUGCAGAGGUAGUCUUUCCAGAGCCACCUUUGCCUAUAAAAGUGACCAACUUUGAUGAAGAAUUUUGAUCAUCAUUAUCAUUCAAAGAAGCAGCAGUAAUGGAUGGAGGAGUAGCUGUUGUUCUUCUAAGCAUCUUGAUUUUACAAGUUCGCUCUAAAAGAGAGAAACCAGAAUCUGGGUUUGCAAAUAGCAAAGGUGAGGAAGAAAAGGUAGCCAUCUUUUGCAAAUUCUCGGCAAAUUUCAGCGGGUCUUAUCGCAUGGGUCAGUGACUCGGUGUUUUUGAAGGUGGAGGAGCUGGUCUCUUGUACUGUUUGGCUUUGGUUGUCAAUUAGUUAGUGAGGUAGCGAUGCAUUUCGUAGUAUUUUUUCUUGUAAAUAUAUAAAAAUAAUAUUUUUUAAAAAAUAAUUAUUUUUUAUACCAGAAAUCUAAACUAUCUAAAAACACUAAAAAAAUAAUUUUAAAUAAAAAAAUAAUUCAAAAAAUCAUAAAACACAAUUUCAACUUUAAAAUACAAACAUGUAAUAUUUUUAUAUUUAGAUGUUGAAAUGGGAUAAGAAAAUAAUAUAAAAAAUCAAUUAUAAGAAACAUAUAAACAUGCUAAUUAGGGCUUAAAUCAAAAUAUCCAUUAAACACGUGAUCAUGAGAAAUAUAUAAGAAAGCUAACCAAAUUCUUGUUAUUCAAAUAAUCUGAUAAAAAAAAAAUUAUAAAACUUUUUUAUAGAAAAAAAGCAAUGUUAGCUUUUCAAACUCGUGAUCUAAGUCACUAGAUAAUAAUCAAAAGAAUGUGGAUCAUAUUUGUAUAAAAAUUAAAUGAAAUAAAACAAUGAGAGAUAAAAUUAAAAAAUAAAAUAAAAUAAAUCAAGAAAAGAAAAAAAAUAGCAAUUAAAAUAAUAAGGACCAAAUUAAAUAUAAAAAUCAAAUGAAAUAAAAUGUUGAGGCACAAAAUUGAAAAAAUAAAUAAAUCAAUAAAUCAAUGAUAUAAAAACAGUAAUAAAAAAAUAAGGAUUAAAUUAAAUAUAAAAAUUAAAUAAAAUAUAAAUAGAUAAAAUUAAAAAAAAUCAACUUUAAAAUGCAUUAAAAGCAAUAUAAACUGAUAUCACACAUUUAAUUUUUAAAAAGAAUAGUAUGAAAAUUGAGGUAAGAGGAAAAAAAAAAGAGCCUACUAAAACCUAACCACAACUCCUUGCAUACGCACUUGAUCAUCAAGAAAGAAGGUGACACUAUGAUUUCAAUGUUAUCGUUGGAUGCGACUUUUCAUUGCUAGGAAAUGCAGCACGCUUUGCCCAAAAAAUACAGAUGCUUCCAUCUUGUUGCUUGUGUUAUGCAUAUGCUAAUUAUUUUUUUAUUUUUAAUUAUAUUUAUAUUUGUUAAAAGACUGAAUUGUUAUUUAAAUUAAUUAUAACUAAAAACCAUUAGGGAAACACAAAAAUGCCUCUUAAUGUCAGCUUCUUUUUUAAAAAAAAAUUUUAAUGGUAGUUUUGUUAUUAUAUUAUGCAAUCAAAGCAUAAAAAACCUUAUAUCCGUGUUAAAAAACCUCUGACCCAAUUUUAUUUUUAAUGCUUUUAAAAAUAUUCAAGUCAUUGCAGUGCGUGUUAAGAAUAUAAAAAGAAUAAUAUAUCCGUGGUCAACAUGACAUUGACAAAUAAACCUUAUAGAAAAAGAUAAUUUUGAUCCCAAACGACCAAUUCCUGGUUGUAAAGGUCAACUAUUAUAAUCCACAUUCAGGUCACAGGACACGCACGGAGCACUUUUUUUUUUAAAAAAAUACGUGCAGUGCAGUUUUUUUUUCUUUGUCAACACUCUAAACUCCAUCGCCUCCUCUCUCACGAGCACCGACAAGAGAUUGUGGUCGAAAUAUCGAAUUGGGGUGAUAAUUCUAGAGUCGGGAAAACAUUUCCCCACCACCCUUGAUUGCCGAAAAACAAUAAUAUCUCGCUAGAUUGGUAGCCAAAGAGACAAAUCUAACUAAAAUCGACAGGAAAUAAGGGAGGCCCCAAACUAGACUUCACCAUCUCCGAGUCUUCUUUUUUUGAAAACCACCAAACGCCGUUCAAUUCCGUAGGAUCUUUGGCAUCCUCUUCCCUCCGGAUCUCCAUCAAUCACCAACAAACAUGAACGAUAUGUUAUGGUAGAUGUACCACCCACACAGUCAAUUUUAGCACGUACGAUUUUAUUUUGAACUCAACAAAAAAAUAAAUUAUACACAUAUUUUCCAGACCAGGCAUAUAUUUACCCGUGGACAUAUAAUUGGAUGCAUCUAGCUAAUUGGCAUCUUUGACAGCCGGAAAUGAAAUACUUGGCAAGGAACUGGCCCUAGGUGACCUUGGCAUCUGAGACUGUUGAUUCCCAUGACCAUCAUAGAAUAUCACACCUGAAAAUUCCGGUGGCUGACAUUUCUCUCCCAUCAAGAUUGAUUUUUGCCACAGCCCACCUUCUUCCAGUCCCCCAGCUUCCUCUUUAAUUCCAACUCCGGGUACCGUAGCGUCUUCAUCAUCAGCACCAUCUUUUUUCCUGUCCAUAAAUGGAAUUGCCUUGUUACUAAUUUUUGGCCGGAGUUUCUUAGGCGAUGCUAAUGGAGAUUUAUUAGGUGUAUCACAUUUGGAAUUGCUUGUUGCAGCGCCUGAGUACUGAUGCUUCUGCUGGGUGCGGCGCCGUAUGCUAUGUUUGGCACAUAAUGCCGCAAGAACAGAAACUGAGAUAAACAAGCCAAUUGCAAGUGGGACGGACCCUUCUAUGUGAUGACCGACAUGAUCAGCCAUGAGUACACGUACCAUGUUUCAUAGAAAUGGUUGUGGAAAAAUGAAAAUGGCUGCUUGCUUGCUAGAGUUGUUGCAUGUUCUUGUUGGCGGUGAUGAAUGGCAUAUAUAUACACAUAGAGAGAGAGAGAGAGGGAGGCGAAGUAAACUAUUAUUAGCCGGUGGAAGGUGAGGAGAGACGACUUUUAAAUAUUUCGUAGUGCCAUAAGUGUCUUUAAACCUACAAAGGCUUGUCUACGUGUUUGUUGGGAGUCUUAGCACACUAAUAAUUAAUAUGUAUGAAAAGUCAUCUUACAUAUUCAUAUUCAGAUGAUUAACAUUAGCAGCUUGGUUAUUUAUUAAUUGCAAGUGAAGGUUCAUAUAUAUCAUUUAUCACUGAAUAUAUCUUAUAAAUCGUCCAGUAAUAUCUAGUGCAUUUACUUCUUGCAAUAUUGUAAGGGAGUAGUUCAGUCAACGCUAACGUAUGAGGCCGACUUCCAAAGAAAUGAAAGCUAUGUAGGUACUGACCAUUUCUGCUUCUUCGUUAUUGGAAAAAACAUUGUUAGGGAUCUUUUAAUUAGUUUAUAUAUAUAUAUAAAGAAUACGCGCGCAAAGAGGAUCACUGACGAUGGUUCUAUUUCUUAGUCUUUCUUACUAUAACAAAAUCAAGAGAUCAAGAAAAUUAAAAAAAAAAAAACUCAAUUAUUCGUGUGAUUGAUUAGUCAAAUACUAUAAAUUUACUAAUAAUUCAUUGAUCCACACCACAAUACCGUUUCCUUGUUUCCAAAUAAGCUGUGGUUUAUAAUCUAUAUGCAUCUACUGAUUUGCAGAUAGAAUUAGUCAAAUGCUCCUCUAUUGUAUUAAAGACGUGUUCGUCAUGCUAUUGGCAGCUAGCUAGACAAUUAAAUGAAUUAAUUGGAACGAAGAUAAAUAAUGAUAAAUAUUGUGCGAUCAUUAUCAUUUGAUUGAUCAUCACCAUAUUAUAUAAUUAAAUUUCAGUUCUUUUAAGUUCCGAACCUGUGUGGCAAACAAGAUGUCACGUAUGAUUAGUCGUCACCUUUUAGAUAUAUGUCAGGCGUGGUGUUCCAUGCAUGUAUAUAUAUACACGUAUACAUAGAUAAUACGUGCAAAAGGCAGAAAAUAUUGUGUUGGUAUCUCCAAAAAAUUCUUGAUGUUUUGACUUUCUAGAUGAAUGUUUUGUGGGACAGCCGAUUUCUAUAUACUGGUUUGUGCUAAUGGGGUUAGGGCACCUUCGACUUCAUGCUUAACUUACAAAACCUCGGGGUUUACCAUCUGUUAUACAAAGUGAUAUCAUUUUCAAUUUGCACUUCUACUUUUUCUGUCUAUUUCAUUUGAGACAUAGUUUUAAUUUUGAUUUGAUUUGCCUCUAGCUAGUGUGUCAUCUAAUUUAUGUGUAAUUGAUGAUAUUUCUCUAAAAAAAAAAAUAUCAAUUAAAUAUCCCAACUUAAUUUUCCAUACAAUCUUAGAGCCUAUUUAAAAGUAGAGUUGCGGUUGCUUUUCAAAAGAAUUUUUUAUAUAGAAAUAUAUUAAAAUAAAAUUAAAAUUAAAUAUUGUGUUGGUAUCUCCAAAAAAUUCUUGAUGUUUUGACUUUCUAGAUGAAUGUUUUGUGGGACAGCCGAUUUCUAUAUACUGGUUUGUGCUAAUGGGGUUAGUGCACCUUCGACUUCAUGCUUAACUUACAAAACCUCGGGGUUUACCAUCUGUUAUACAAAGUGAUAUCAUUUUCAAUUUGCACUUCUACUUUUUCUGUCUAUUUCAUUUGAGACAUAGUUUUAAUUUUGAUUUGAUUUGCCUCUAGCUAGUGUGGCAUCUAAUUUAUGUGUAAUUGAUGAUAUUUCUCUAAAAAAAAAAAUAUCAAUCAAAUAUCCCAACUUAAUUUUCCAUACAAUCUUAGAGCCUAUUUAAAAGUAGAGUUGCGGUUGCUUUUCAAAAUCCUUUUCAUAUAGAAAUGUAUUAAAAUAAAAUUAAAAUUAAAAUUUAACUGUAUAUUUUUUACUGAUGAAGGUUUUAUUAACAAAUAAUUUCAAUUUGAGAAAGAAAAGUUCAAAAUCAGAUGUUUAAGGACUCAAUUAAAUUUUGUUGAAAGAUUAAUUGAGUUUAUGAAGGGUUUGAUUGAAAGAAAAAAUGAUUUUAAGGUUUUAAUUGGAAUAAAUUAAAUUUAGAAGUCAAUUUAAUCAACAAUUGAAGGAAUUAAUAAGAAUGGGGACUUAAUUUAAUUGAACUAGGAAUUAGUUUAAUUAGUGAAAUCAGGGUCUUAAUUGAAAAAAUAAGGGCAAGGACCAUUUUGUACAUGUAGCCGAAAUGCAGGGGUCUAAUUGUACUUGAUCUAGGGGCACGAUUGUAAAUAGCCAUUUUAGUCAAGAAAACGGCGCCGUUUCGAAGGUCACUAUUCGUCUUCUUCAGCGGGCCAGACCAGGAAGAAGAAAAGCCGCCCCCGCCCCACGAUGCAUCUCCAUUACCAUUGUAACUGUCCUGCGAGUCCUUUCAUUUUCCGGGCGAUCGCAUGGCAUUCUCUGGCUUUAUAAAAAGCCAGAGAAAGGCCACGCGAGGGAGAGGAACGAAAAAACAGGGGGGAACGAAAAACAGAAAAACAGAGGAGACACACACAGUGACACAGGGAACCAGAAGACAGAAAGAACGAACAGAGGAAUCAACAAAACAAAAACAGAAGGAGAGGGAGAACGAGAAAAAAAAAAACGGAGGCAUAAAAACAGGGGAAAGCACACAGACAGAGGGCUUUUCACACAAAAACGAACAACACAGGGGAGACACGCAGGAGGAAGCGAAAACGCAUACAAGGGGGGUUUCCAGAAGAACGAAGACACAGAGACAAAACCCGGGGGGGACGAUCGUACUGGACCAGGAAGAAGAACAACGAAACAGAGGAAACAAAAAAAAAACCGAAGAAGCAAAAGGAGAAGACAGUGGAGCAAUACAGGGGCAGAGAAUAAUAAAAAAAAGAAAACCCAGAAAAAGGAUAGAGUCACGAACAGAGGACCAACAACACACCAGUGCAUUCGGCUUCGUCUCCAGGCAAGUCUCUUCUUUGCAUUACAAUCCACGCACUGUAGCUGUGAAUUAUAAUUCACUUGCUACAGUAGCAAGUGAAUUAUACUUCACUUGUUUCUUGUUUCUUAGCAGGCGUGCGUCGUCACGAACGCAUGCUGAACAAAGCCCGCCGGCCGGUCGGAUCCAACCUAAUUAUAUUGACUGGAUUCAAUUCAGCUCAAAAAAACAAAAUAUAAAAAUAUAUAUGCAUUGAUUCAAUUUAUUUUAUUAGUUGUUUAUUCACUAACAUUAGACAUGAAUAUCAUAUUUUUUUUUAGACUAUGUAAUAUUUACUAAUACUAUAGUUAAAAAUAUUCAUAGUUAAAUAUUUAUUAACGCUAGAAUCAAGAAUAUUACAAGCAGAUCAUCGUAACAUAAACCAACAAACUCUUAGCAAUUUAAGACAAAAUCAACAAUGCAGCUUAUUUCAGGUAGGACACUUAAAGAGUGAUAAUAUCUUUAUUUUUACGUAACUAAACUCAUAUCAUAGAAUCUCUGUUGACCAGUUAGGAUUUUUAAUGAUCAUAUUAUUAGGUAACGAUUUCUUAAAUAAGACCUUUUUCUAUUUAAAAAAAUGAUGCCAAAAAUAUGUUCUUUAAGAUUGAUUUUUUAAAGGAUGUUGGGUGCGAUAGACGGAAUUGAAAAAAAAAUAUAUCAAGAAAAAAAUUGAAAAAAAAACAAUUAAAAGAAUAAUGACAAUAUUUGAUUAAAAAGACUAACAAAAGCAAACAACUAGGGAUGGAAUUUAAAAUAAAAUUCAAUUAGAAACAAUCAAAGUAAAUAAAAAAAAUUGCAAUUAAGAGAAGAAUGAUUAAAUCAAAAGAAAAAAUAAAUUGAAGAGUAGGUAUAAUUUUUUGCAUGGCCAAUAUGCAAUCUAAGGAAGAAAUAGAAGGAAAUGAAAGAAAAAAAAAGAAGCUAAUUAACGUCAAAUCAUAUCUCAUUACUAUACAAGCGCCACUUAGAAAGGAAGAAGACGUAGAGACAUAUCAAGAUGUGCUGAAAGCUUGAUUUCAACCACCAUUAUAAAAGGGUAACAAAUUUACAUAGUAAAGAUACUUGUGUAAUUUAAUUGUUCUUGACAAAAUUAAAAUGAUCAUAUAACCCUUGGCUCAAAGGUUCUAAUUGUGUGCGCUCUAAGAGCAAUACAAUUAUUGCACUGUUAUUAAAAAAAAAUAAAAAGAUAAUGCUACCCCUAAUUAAAUUAAAAAUGACAAAUUAGUUGUGUGUAAAGACCAUCCCACCCCUCAAGUAAAGUUUAAAAAUUUAAAGAAUGAAGAGUAAAAGUGUAAUUUUAUUCUAGCCUUAGAUACAUUUCAUUAGGGAUGAGUUAUGCUAAAAAACUCACAUGAUUUAGUAUUUUAUUUAAUUUUCAAAAACACAAAAGAGCCAUAAUUAUUUCUAUUCCUAGAGGAACAACUUGAAGUUACUAAAUAUGCUGAAAAAUUAGAGAAACAUGAAGUUGUGAAAUCUAAGACAACAUGAAGUUCAUGAGCAUGUUAAGAUUAAAUUAACUAAAGAAAAGCUAGAACAAGUUAUUGAAAUUGCUCUGAAGACUAAAGUUGACAUCAAAGAAGAAUUAAGUGUGGUUAUAUUAAGUAUUAAUGUUGGAUCAAUCUUCUAAAAUUACCAAUUCAACUAGUGGUCAAGACUUUGUUCUUAGGGAUGACUAAACAUGUCAACUAAAGUUUUUAUCAUUUCAAAAAGAUGGUUUCAUAUUACCUUGAAUUUUUAGAUCUCAAAGAGUUUCGUCUAGAUUUUGAAAUUUUACAUAAAUAUAUCUUUGCUGAAUUUAGAUAUAAGGUAUAUGAAGUAAGCUACCUCGUGAACAAAUUUGUGACAAUGUUACAUUUGACAAAUUUAUUCCUUUGACAUGGUUUAGUUUAAUUGUUAAUAGUUAACUUGAGUACGAGCUUUUCAUAAGUAGAAAGGACUGCGGUGGGGGCAUUUUAUUUAUUAUUUUUGACUUACUUAUUUUUAUUAUAUUAUUUCUUUGGUUGUUAAGAUUUUUUUAAUCUCAAGAAGUUCUAGAAAAAUUCAGUGCACUAUAUGGAAAAAUAAAUAUAAUUUUUUAUUCGAUUAUUAGAUAUUUAAACUAAUAUUUUAAUAAAAGAUUCUAAAAUCUCUUUUUCCUAUAGAGAUACAAUUUCAUAAUCAUCAAAAGGUCAAAAGACCUUAAAAUAAAAUCCAAAAUUUACUACUUAAGAUUUUCUUUAUUUUUCUUUUGUGUCAAGAUUUUUUUUUCUAUUUAAAUUACAACUUUAACUUAAUUAAGAUUUUACCAAUUAUAAUAUUUUUCUUCUAUUUAAACAGCCUUAUAGACUUUCUUUAUAUUAAAAUGUACAAUUUCUUAUUGAAAGUAAUUUUUCAGAAUUGUAUGUAUGGGAAAUUGUGACUUUCUUUAAUCUCAGUCCUGUUUUUUCUGCUGGUCUUGCGAGGAGCGAGGUUGAAGGCCCGAAACCUUGGAGGCUGGAACACUUGUGGGAGAUUUGAAACUGUGAUUCAUUGCGCGCAUUGGAUGAGAGGCCACUGCUAAUCCCAUCAAAAAGCUGGAUUUAUCUCUCCCAUUUAAUUUAAAAUAAUAUAAAAAUGCAAGUUCUGGUUACCGCGAAUCAAAUAAUUGUGUAUCCAUACAUGGAAGCAGAUGGAGUAAAUUCUCCCGUUCUUGCUCAAUAUAUCUCCAGGAUACUCUAACCCUGUAGAUUUUAGUGUCAUCCAAUUUUAUGAUUGCAAACUGACUGAUAUAUAAGUGUCUAAAUUAAGAUUAUAUUGAAACACAUUCUAAAAAAAGAGAAAGAUUACAUUGAAAACGUAAUGUUUUUUGAUUGAAUAAAGGUGUUGAAAGUUUAUUUGAUUGAAUUAAUUAUACGUACAUGAUGGUGGAAAAACUGAUUGCAUGUGACAUACUACAAGCGUGAAACACAAAAUCUUUGGAGUUCUCUAUCCGAUGAGAUGAGAUUUGAGUUAGUAAGUCACUUUGCACUUUUCUCCUUUUGAGGGGAAAAAUAAAAUCACUAUUAGCUCGCAAUUCUAAAACAAGUAUUUGCAUGAACUCUAAGUAACUUUGGGAGGACGAUCCAACCGUAAGAAAAAGACUCAUUUAUCGUGAUGUUGUUUCUAAUUUUUUUUAAAAAGUGAUACAUCUUUAUUUGAUGAUUAAUCCUAUAUAUUUGUGAUGAUAUCUGAAAUUUAAGUCUCAACAUAUACAUGACAAAGAUUUUUGUAAAAUUGUACAUGUCAUGUCUAUGCGUGAAAGAUGCAAUAAAUGCUUAUAUAAAAAAUCAAACUAUCUCUACACUCAUGUUUUAACCAUAAAAAAGAAAACAUACGAAGCUGAACUAAUUGCCUUGCCUCAAGUUGGCUGUAAAGCUCACAUAAUAAAGCUCUGGUCAUUGGGAGCAGGAAUUAAUUAUAGUCACUGCAUAAUGGUCUCUUCAUGGGGUGUUCAUGAUUUUUUUUUGUAUUUGUGAAUCGACCGUGGAGUGUUUUUUUUCUUUUUCUUUUUUUGAAUAAAGAUGAUGUACAUUUGAUUAUGGCUUCACCUCCAUGGAUGUGGAAAAUCCAAAUUGUGUGCAAAAAAUCUAGCAAAUGAUUAGCCACAUAAAUCUCGAUGCAUAUUCCAUGGAUGUGAAAAAUCAAGCUUUACGUACACGGGUGUAAGUGGAUCCAACUAAUAUUAGGGAGUGAAGCACAGACCAUAUAUAUACAAAGAAACAUAUCCAAGAUGCCUAUAACAUAUACCCUGGAACUGGAAGAAAUUAACGCGCAGGACUGCAGGUUCUUGGCGAUGAUGAUUGAGCGGUGUGGAUUUUAAGAAAUUUGAAUUAAAUAAAAGUAAUGUUUUCUAGAAGAUAUCUUUAUCUGCAUAUCUUUUUCAAUUAUCAAAUCAUGAAAGAAAUACAAUUCGUUUGUAAAUUUUGGAAUUAUCUAGAUAAUAAUUUGUGAUUUCCAAUUGUAUCCUCAUCACUGCCAAUAUGAAUGCUUUCCAUUGACAAGUUACCCUCCAGGACUCCCAAGCAAGCACCCAGACAAGUUGGCUCCUCUUCCAUUGCUUCAUAGGCCUCGAGAGUCGACAACAUAGAACACAUGCAAGCUGGAGAAAAGUCAUCGAACCUAUUUACUCUAAAUUUCGACGCUGUUGCAGUAAUUACAAUUAACUUCCACCAAAUGGAAAUAGAGCAACUCGAAUACACACACACACACACAUUACUUUUAGGUUUUUCUAAUUAUUUGGGCUCCAGUUCCUUUAAGUAAAAGAAAAAAAAAGAGAGAUAGAGACUAAAAGUUGAUCAGUCGGGAGUUAACAGGUGUAGCAGUACAAUUCAAUGGGAAAAGAAAAAAAAAUCUAAUAAAAACACAUCAAAACAAUCUAAAAACACUAUAAAAAAUAUUUAAAAUACUUUUAAAACAUAAAACAAACUAUAUCUUAAUCUUCAAGGGAAAGAAAAGAAUGCUUUAAGCAAAUUACCAAAGAUAGUAUCAUUAUUAUUAUGGUGUCGAACUUUAGGUUAAUAUCUUCUUCUCCCAUGCCGUGCCGUCACAGCUACUCGUGUUUCCUACUUUCCUUGAUAUCUCAUAAAACAAACAAUUAAUAGAUAUAAUAAUUAGUUGUCACUUUUAUCAAAUCGAGCAUCAUCAUUGUAAUCAUGAACUUAAACCUACAAAAUAUCUGUAUCAUCCCUUUCUGGAGAUAUAAUGAUAAUAUACUUAAUACAUGUACAAGCUCGAAUUCACAAUAUCAUACACCAUGAUCCAUGAAAUCUGAAAUUUAAUGGCUUCAUGAGUGAUCAAAAGAAAAUCAGGUGAAGCAGCAAAAGUUAUAACAAGUAAUUACAUCAUACAGUACUCAUGAAACCUCUCUCAAACCAUCAAUGGUGCAAUGGGUUAGGACCGGUGGGGACGAGGCGCUUUUCGACACCAUAACGUGGAUCAAUCUCACUUCGAGCUCGUUUCUUGUGCCCCUCUUCCUCAGGCAUAGGUUGUUGAUGAUGUUUUUGAAAUGGGGUGAAGUCGAAUUUCCUAGCAACAAGUUUUCUGUUGAGGAAAGGGCGAUAAGAGAAUGUUGACGAUUUGCUUAUGUUGUUGAUUUGGUCUUUGGUGGUGUUGAUCUUGGACUUGAAAUUACACAAUUCAUGAAACACUAACAAGAGAAGGGAGAGCCAAAAAACGACGCAUAGAGUGUGAAAAAUUCUCAAGGCCAUGGAGGAAGAGUAGGAGGAGAAGGGUUUGAAGAGGAAGCAUGGAGCAAGAAAUGAUCAGGAGCGAAAGGGAGGAAAAAAUUAGUUUCUAGAUGACGAAAUUCUAGAAAUUUGACAGCUUGAAAGUGUAGGAGAGUACUGAAAGUUUUGCGUGUUCUUUUUUCACCUUUCAUGAGAGAUUUGCUUGCACCUUUUCACGGUAAUUUAUUGCUGAAAGAGAAAGGAGAGGAGGGGUAGACCCUUUCUCAAUGAGAGUUCCUUAUAAAUCAAGCAUCAAAAAGGAGUCAUUAUAAGUACAAUUGUCAAACCGCGAAUUAUAUUACGUUUGAUUAUGUUUGUCUUUCAACCGCUUAAAACCAAAUAUAGUGCUAGCAUAUGCGCGCGCGCGCGAGCAAUAUAUAUAUAUAUAUAUAUAUAUAUAUAUAUAUAUAUAUAUAGAGAGAGAGAGAGAGAGAGAGAGAGGACCUGUCUAGCUAGUCUCGCUCUCUCUCUAGAAGCAUGAUUCUGUGGAAGGGAAGAUCCAUACGGGGUUUGAGUGAAUUGCAACUAAAUAAAGGGGUGGGGAUAUGCAAUCCACAUUUUCCAUGGCUAAAGCAAUGUGGGUACUGUUUGCAAAAAGUAAGGGACAAAGCAACAGAUAUGGAACUGUAUACAGUAAUGUUAUGUUCAAAGCCCAUUGUAUACAAUUAAGUUCUCAAAAAAUAAAAUAAAUAAUACAUGUAUAAAUACGAGCGUACAUUAGUAUAAUCUUACAAUCUAAAAAUUUGGAAAUCUAUUCUAUAUUCUGCAAAAAAAAAAAACACGCUAGGACAUUAGCAAAAUUUGGCAAUGCUUGUUUUCUAGGUGAUGUUUGGCAUUGUAAUAUUCAAAUUAUAUUUUUGAAAAAAUUUAAUUUUUUUUAAUUUUAAAAUAAUUUUUAUGUGUUUUUGAAUCACUUUAAUAUGUUAAUGUAAAAAAUAAAUUUUAAAAAUUAAAAAAAAUAUUAUUUUAAUUUAUUUUUAAAUAAAAAAUAUUUUAAAAACUAACCUUUACUAAUUUCAAAAGAGAUGGUAACUAAUGAUCAUGUGGCUGGAAAUUAGGAAGAUACCCAGUGAUCUGUGCUUUUCAAUUAUUAAUUAGUGGAAGUUCAACACAAUAUUGAUGUUCAUUUUUGUAUUACAGUUCAAUUGAAUUUUUUAAUUUUAAAUUAAUUUUUUAUUUUAAUUAUUUUGAUAUCAAAAAUAAUUUUUUAAAAAUAUUUUAAAAAAUAAUAGGAAAAUACACUAAAAAAUAAUAAAAAAAAUCCUUUACUUUCUUCUUCGCAAUCAAAAUCUUCACAGUAUAUGUGGGGUACUUGCCAAUUGCUACAUGGCAACAGCAGUUGCUGCCCCUCUGUGGAUAACAGGAACAUGUCCUUGAUAUAUUGCAAUAAUAAUACCACAGGAAAGUUUUUAAACUAGAGGAGCCAAGCCCCCUUUAAAAUUAUUGUGACAUGAACUUAACAUUUUGAUUGUACACUUAUCCCAAUUGAAAUCAAUUCAUUAAUUAAUAUAUCAUUUAUCAUAUCAUGAGUUACUAAAAUGAAUUCCGUGAUAUUAUAACAAUGAAUUCGGCAAACUUAUUAUUCCUAGCAUUAUUUGAAAAACCUCAAAGGAUAAAGUGGGUUCGAAUUAUAAAAGAAAAUUUUUUGUAGGUUUAAAAUUAACUUAUUAGCUUAAUUUGUCAGAUUCUAAAUUUACUCUUAAAAGAUUAUUAAUUCAAGUCUUACAAACUUAAUAAUCAUUAAAGAUUUACAUAUUCAUUAAUUUCAGGGCAUGUUGGAUUAAUUGAGGUGUACACAAACUGAUUUGAAUACCUAUGUUAAUAAUAAAAAAAAACAUAUUAUUAGUUUUUUCUUUUAUUAAGAUAAUAUACACACACAUACAUAUCUUAUUCAUAAAAAUUUCUAAACUUUUGUUUUUUU